ACCGGAAGGUCAUGGCCUGGAAAGGCGUAUGUAUGCAUUUAGUAUGUUGACUGAUUCAUAGAGUAAUGUUAUGUUAGUGACCGGCUAGACCGGUAUCUUGUUUAGAGUAAUGCUAUGAUAUGUGAUCUGUUGAUCGAUUGUUGUCUAUGAACUGUUAUAUGAUUAUUUGUUAUGUUAUAUAUGCAUUUUAUGCGUAUGGGCCGAAAGGCGAUAUGUUAUGGGCCGGAAGGCGAUUAUACUGUGUGAUGGACCGGAAGGUCGGCGUGGGUAGGACUGGAAGGUUUACCCAGCAGGGACGGAAGUCCCCUGAGACACAUGGACCGGAAGGUCAGGGCCUGGAAAGGCGUAUAUGUGGUUGGUAUUCUGGGGGUAUCUCACUAAGCUUUCGGGCUUACAGUUGUGGUUUUAUGUUUCAGGUUCUUAAGAGUCUGUGACAAGGCAAAGGCGUGAUCGUACCGUUCCUCGCGUUGGUGUUUUAUGUUAUGAACCUGGGAAAUUACUCUGUUAAAGAAUGUAUUGAAAACCUUUUUGUAACAAUGUUAAUAAAAUGGGUGAUUUUAAAAAGUUUUAAUUGUUUGAAAUUUUGGAUGUUACAAAGUGAAGUAGAAGUGGUCGCAAGUGAAGUAGAAGUGUCGAACAAGUAUAAGCGCAUCACGAAGUAGAGGCGACAAUAAGUGAAGCGAGAGUGUAUCAAGUAUAAGUGAAGUAGAGUCGUUAUCAAGUAUAAGUGAAGAAGAAUUGUAUCACUAAGUAAGAGCGUGAAUAAGUAUAAGCGUCANAGUAGGAGUAUAAAAUAAGUAUAAGCGAAGCGACAAUAAUUAACAAGUAAAGGUAUACGUCGAAAAAGGGAAUCUUUGAUGAAAAGCCUUUAUGUAUAGGGAAAAUCACAAAUUGUAUUCUUUUGUAAAAUAUGUUUAAAAGCCUUAGAGAAUCUUCCAUAAACCAAAUUUAGAAUGAAUUUGGAUAAAUCAGUAUAAGUAAAAGUUAUGAAAUAAGUGAAAAUCAUUAUAGUGUUCUACUCGGUACAACAGUGUAAAGUGGUAAAAUCUUGUGCAUGCGGGUUAUUAAUCACAUGUGAUUGAUAUGAUAACUGGCAUGUUUAACUUGUAAUCCCCCACUAUAAAAACAUUUAAAAGCAUUUAAAAGGUUCAUUCAGGGGUAUGAACUCACCUGGUGUAAGUAGGUCCGACGAAAGUGUCGUUUGGGCGUUCGGUGUCACGCAAGGACUUGAACACGCAUAAUGACCUAUUUUAGCAUAUGAUAACAUAUGUUCACAUACAAUUCGCAUAUUUAAUACUAAUUAAACAAAUAUAGGCGCUCAAAGGAGCGGAAAACACUUUGGCUAAGUGUUUAGGUGUCCCGGGUAGCGUUUAAGGGUGUAUAUGGCUAAGGAAUGAAGUUUACCCUCCAAGGAUAAACCCCUAUCAUCUAGUUUACGGCCCAGGGACUACUCACCAUGAGUUUACGGCCGUAAACUCAUGGUGAUGGGUUCUAGGGUGUUAAAGGCUUCUACUAGCAUCCUUGAAUUAUUCUAAGCACUUUUCCCAAAACGCAUGAGUGGGUUUGAGUUUAUGAGUUUACGGCCAAGGGACCACUCCUAAGGGAGUUUACGGCUGUAAACUCAAAUCCUUAGAGUUUUGGGAAUUUCUAAGCCCCUAUUGCCUUUCUAGAAUUUUCUUAUGAAGUUUAAUGCUAUUUUGGGGAUUUAAAACCAACAUUUAGGGGUGUUUACGGCCUUGACCCUUGUCUGGGCCGUAAACUCCCUUUAUUAAAUCCUUUUGGUGUGUUUCAAGGGUCUAAACUCAAGAGAAUAAGUCCCUAAAUUAUGUAAUAAGUCCUAGGAUGAGUUUGGAGUGCAUUUGGGACUAUGGCUUGAGGGGUUUACGGCCUAAGCAAGUGCUUGGGCCGUAAACUCUUCUUUGAGUCCUAAAUCCAUGCAUUUUAGUGUUUAAACACCCCUAGGCUAAUUCCCCUAUUUAUUUCCAAGCUUUUAGGGACAUUUUCGAGUCAUUUUGGCCUUGUUUUAAGUGUUUACGGCCUAAGGAGGAGCUUAGGCCGUAAAGUCCUUUUCCAAUGCUUCUAAGUCCGAAUUUUAGCUAUAAACACGAAAAAAUAUGUUUAGAAUAAGCUAGGGUAAGUGGACUUACAAUUUGGAAGCGUUUGGUUGCGGAUUCGGGGCUAAAAUGGGUCCAGAGAGAGUAUAGAGAGAGAGUGUAAAAAGUCUCCAAUGGACUCCACUCACCCUUAUAUAGGGUUUUGAGUCGGGGCUCAGUGGAAUUUUACCCGAUACUGCCGUUAAACGGGGCUUUUGGUUGCACCCGAUUUAGUGGUCAUAAUAACAAAACUUGACAUUUUCCAAUUUAAUGGAAAUGUGUGUCAUGUGUUUUUAUUCCCUUUUAUCACGACUUAACGGCAUUUUAAUUAUAAACAAAUAGAAUGUUUAUUAAAUUAACGCCCUCUAACUAACGGAACUUUAUACAGUGGAAUAUUUCGUUAACGGUAACGGGGAAAAUGCAACGGGAACACUUGGGUUGUCACACUCAUCUUCAGCAUUUUCCUGCACAAUUAAAGCAGGCAUAGAGUUGUCAGUGAUUUUCUUCUUCUUGUUCUCUUCCACCUUACACAUAUAGUAAGUCUCAUCAUCCUCGCCAUCUUUCUUUUCGUUCAGCCUUGUCAACAUGCACUCCUUUUUCAGAUGAUUUUUACCAUGACAAUAAUUGUAGUUAUAGCCAGAAUCACCUACGAGCUUGUUUUCUUUCUUCUCUUCUUCCUUCUUAGGAGCACUUUUAUUCUCCUUCUUCACUUUCUCAACACUAUAACUUCCCCUCCAAUUUUUGUUCUUGGCAGAUGGAAAUUUCUUCUUGGCGAACCGUUUGGGAUUUGUGAUCAUCAAUGCAUAAUCUUCACUAGAAAGAUCACAAUCAGAGAUCUCCUUUUCAGAUUCUUCCUCUGUAACAUUUUUUCCUUUUUCCACAAGAGCUAAGGACCCUGUACUCGAAACAACUUUCGCUUCUCUUUUCACCACACUUUCAUGUGACUUAAGAAUACAAACGAGCAUAGACAAUUUAUAACUUUUGAAUUGUUCGUGUGCUUUAACGGUAGACACGACAGCCAUCCACUCUGAUCUAAGUCCAUUCAUAAAGGUAACUUUUUGUUCGAUCAGUUCGCGCCCGAUACCAUGCUUCACCAUUCUACUAAGAAGAUGGUUGUAGCGAAUGAACGUCUGGCUCAGAAUUUCUUUUGGCUUUUGUGUAAAGGCCCCAAACUCCGAAAGCAGAAGGGUUUGGGUAUCAUGCUCGAGAUCAGCAUCAGUAGAAUAAAGCUCUUUAAGCUUAUCCGAGAUCUCUUUCGAUGUAGUACAAGAACUCACUAAGCGAAACGUAUCAGACUGCAAGGCGAAUAUGAUUACCCUCAUUACUUUGAUAUUGUUGAUAAGCUUGUCUUUCUCAUCCUUAGGAACUUCCUACACAUCAAUGAGCAGUUGGUUGUAUUCCUUUUGAGUUUUGAUGGUUCUUCGAGUUUCAGUAUGAACAAAUGGACCUAGAGUAAUGGCUUCCCAUAUCAGGUAACGAUUAUCUUCAGAUCCAAUGACCUAAUCUUCAAAAUGUGACGCCCAGACUUCAUACUCCAAAGGGAACAAGAUUGGAAUCCUUGUAGUCGAUCCUAUGUUACUUGUGAUGUUAAUGGAGUUUAACUGUGAAUGGGCGUGUUGCAUUUUGAGUUUAUUAACCUGUCAAGAAUCAGACUUGUAAACAUGUAUUAGGAUAAUAUCAAGAUCACAGAGUAACGUCAAUAAAUCAAUGAUGGAUCGAAUAGAUCUAAUAUUAAUGGAAACCUAAUGACUUCUUCAAACAAAAGAGUUGUGUAUUGAUUACACAGCCUCCUGCUCUGAUACCACUUGUUGAGCAUCAGCGCUACCGUUUGAUCUAAAACCAAUUGGUGUUAGAAAGUGCGUAACCUUACCCAUAUAACGUAUUUAACCCUCCAGGACCAGGCAUUCGAUUGCAGCACUCCAUAUAACGUAUUCAACCCUCCAGGAUUAGGCAUUCGAUUACGGCACUCCAACCCAACAAUCCCCCUUAGAAAUUGCUUCCUGAGAGAAUCGAACCCUCACCACUGGCUCUGAUACCAAUUUUUAGGAAUGAAAUCCUCUUAGAUCGAUUAGAUUCUAACAAGUAAAGUAAUAGCACGAUAUGAAAACAACAAGACAAGAUGGAUCAACUGGUGUCGAAUGAUUAAAAGACACAACCUUAGAAGAACUCUAUGAAGAAUUGUUACUAUAGAGGCGUGUUAGGGUUACAAAGAAAAGAUUGAUCAAAAAUAGUUAACUAAAAUCAGAUGUAUGCAUGCACCAUAUAUACUCUAACCCCAAUAUUAAAUACGGUUGGAUAGGCCCAAACCGUUUACAAAAAGGACUAAAACAAGGCCCAAUGACACAACACUUAAAUACUUAACAUUUCUCUCCGCUUCAUGAAAAUUAUUGUGAGGAAACGCUUUCACUAAGUAGAUUCUAAGGAUAUAGAAAUUGAGGUACUUGCAUUCUCAAAUUCGAAUAUAAUUACGGCAUCGCUCUUCAUAGUUCGAAUUGUGAGAAAUGGAAAAGUUCUAAAUAUUUGAGACUUAUUGUUGUAAGUUCUAAAAUUGUUUAGACACACAUGUGAGCUAUCUAAGGAAAGGUGUAUGAGUUUGAGAACCCUGGAUAAACUCUUAUCGAAGCAUCUCGUAUCAGAAAUCUGAACUUUGAUAAGAAAGUCAAUAAGUAUUGGUUUCUAGACGUCCAGCUUAUUUCUAGGUACAUGUCAAAACCAGUGGGAGCAUACGUGUUAUGCUCAUAAGAAUGUAAUUAUUAUGCUAAUGGGAGCACAAUUAUUACGUUAAGUGUUGCGAGUUAGCAAUUUUAAUUAUAGAAAACAAAAGUUUCAAAUAGCAGAGUUGCAGGGUUUGAAAAGUUGUUGUGCUAUAAUUAAGGGAGAUGAAUUCAUACUUCAUUUCAAAUCUAAAAGCUUAGAUUGAGAUUUUAAUCAAAUUUAGUCAACAACAUAUAUGGAUGUUAUAUUGAAAUGGUUCAACAUAAGGAAAUUCUAUACGUGGAAAUAUUGUAGCAAGAGACUGGAAAAGUAUCACGUCUUUAUGUGAGACAUUAUGAAUCGUAUCCCAUAUGCUUCAGGUAUAGGAUCGAUUGCAUAUGCUAUAAUAUUUAAGUGAUCCAUUUUUGCAAAUGCCUAGGGAAUUAAGAGGGAAAAGGACUAGAACUGGAUAUGAAUAAAAUGAUUAAAAAUUGUCGAGGACAAUCUGAGGUUUACCAAAGAUUGAUUGCUCAUGGAUAGUUGGAAGUAUAGUGUAAAUUUUGGAAGGACCAUAUUGACAUAUUCUAAAAAGAUGCAACUCUUGUUCAGAAGUGAUAGUCAAAAUGGGAAUAUGGAAAUGUUUCCAUAGGUGGAAGUUAUUCAUUAAACUUGAGUAAGAUUAGAAAGCUUAAUGCAAGAAGGAUGUUCAAAGGAAUGUGCUUUAAAUGUGAGACUUUGUUUCCAUGGAAUUGCUCUCCAUUGGAAUACUUUGUAAUGUCUGUUGCCAAGUCUCUGUGACCAAUAAAUGGAAAGAAUUGGUAUUCGUACAUGUACGGUAAAUACUUGGAAUUGUGAAAUGAGUUUCAUGAAGAUGUUUUUAAUUGAUCUAUUUCACAAAUUAAGAACCACAGAUAAACAUAGUGUGCAUGCUUGGAGCAUGGGACAACUAUUGUUUUAAUUCAAGUAUUAAGUUAAUUAGUCGAAACAUUAUACAAUGAAUAAUGCGUAAUCAAUAUGGUGAUUAAAUAAAAGGUGUUUUAUUUAUUAUCAUAAGUCCUGAGACCAUAUCAGAUUCAGUUGUCCUUGUGUUUCACUUUGCAUGUUUCGACUUCCCGAAUAACUAGGUUAUUCAAACUAUCCACAGUCGAUCAUACUUUGGAAGUAGGUAUUGAGGCAAGAUUGUCAUGAAUCUGAUUGUAGAUUGUCUAGGUGUUUUAAACAUAGCACAAGUUUCUUGCAAUGUUCAUGAGUACUCUUUAAUAAGAUUUGUUUAUUGGACUAAACCCACGCUCAUCUGAAUCACUUCAUAUAUUUUAUCACGAGUGAUUGUGAGACAAUAAUAUCUUAUAUUCUUGAAACCAAGACAUGUGAGUUGUAAUUUACAAGUCGGUUCCACAUUGACAUAUGCAAACGCACCAGUAACUUGGUGUUAUAAAACAUAUUGUUGUGUUUGAUUUGAUGAGUAAAUACAAGCAAGCAUUUGAGUCGAAGUUUAUCCAUUCCUUUCACCCUUAGAUGGAUAAAAGCAAUUUAUGUGGGCCCCUCGACGAUUUAGUGAUGACAACCCUAAGUGCAAGGCCAUGUUUCGACUGAUUUCAUUUGUUCAAUUAAUCGGUCGUCAUAAAUCGGAAAUCAGGAAACAAUAAAUGGAUAGAGAGAAUGAUUAUAAUCCAUGUCUCAUGUCCAUAUGAUAUAUAGAAUGGAGGAAUAUAUGAUCCCUUAUCUAAUAGACGCGACAUUGACUAGGUCAGAGUUCGUCAGCGGCUUUUAAGAGCUACGAUUGCUAGUCGGGAUUUUGGAGUUGUACUUGCAAUAAUAGUUGUUAGACUUAUCCAAGUGGGAGACUGUUGGAUUAGGUGUCUAAGCCCAUAACUAUAAUUGGUAUGUACUUGAACCGAGAGUAGCAUGGUCCAUUUCGGGUUGCAUAUCACCAGGACAAUUUGAGAGGAUGGAUACUUGAGUAAGAGGCUACUUAUGAUUUAUUAAUAUAUUAUAAGUUUUAAUAUAUUAAUACGAAAUCAUAUUAUUUAAUUAUUAUUGAUCAAGAAUUAAUUUGGAAUUAAUUAUGUGAUCAAAAGAGACUAAUUGAAUAUAUGGGGAUUGAUUUUGUAAAUCAAUGAUUCUUAUAGUGUGGGCCAAUUGUUAUUUAGGAUGGGCGAAACUAAUAUGGUAGUCCAUGGAUAGUCAAUGGAGGUUUAACCCAUGGAGCCUAAGUAAUGAAAGAUCAUGGGCAUUAGGGUUUGCAUGGAUGUAACCCUAGACUUUGCCACACUAUAAAAGGACUCCCUUAGCACCCAAAAUUGGCCACUAGAGUUCUUGGAGUUCAUUAGAGCCGAUUUUGGAGCUAGCAACAUCUCUCUCAAGUUCUCCAUUGUCCUAGGUGUGUUGUGCACCGUUUAAGGCAUCACACUUGGGGUGCUAAGUUAUUAAAGGCCAAAUACAACAAGUUCUACAAGAUACAUAAAGAGGUAAACUCCUAACAAGUAUUUUAUGUUGUUUAUGUCAAUUGUAUGCUAGUUGUAGGCUUAAUGCUAUCGAAACAAUAUUGCAUGUAUAAUUAGAGAAAACAUAGAUCCAAAACACUUAGGGUUGUAUGUUCACCAUAGGAUAUUGUAGUAUACUAAAACCCAACAUAAGGCCCAUGAAAAAGGAUUGGGCCCAAUUGCAAAUUGGGUCAUAUAUUGGGCUUCAUGGGAUUGUUUAUCUUUUGGGUCAUGGGUUGUGAUUUAAGGUUCAAGUUAUGUUAGGGGUAAAAUAUUCUUUUACCUGAUGUAGGGAUUUUUAGGUAAUAAGGUAGAUCUCUUGUUUGAUUACCUUUUAUUUGGAAAUUGUUAGCUCAAGGAGCUGUAGGACCAGCAGUCAGGGAUUAUUCAUUUUAGUUAGCUUAUCGAGGUGAGUUUCCUUACCAGGUUUAGUAGGUCGAAGGCAUGAAUUUCAGCCCAUGUUUUUGAUAUGUUGUUAGUAUGCUAGUUGUCUUUGUGACUUUUGCAUGGGGUUGUGUUUAUAUAUUUUUCGGGAUAAGGCCUGAUGUCAGGCGAGGACUAAUGAAUAUCUGUAUGAUAUGUAUCUAUUUGAUUAUUACAUGUGUAUGUGUUCAUCUGAUAUAUGUUAUUAUAUGUUGGUCGGGGCAUGUUUACCGAGCUCAGCUCGAUGCCGGGCGGGGUCCGAUGCCGGGAGGGGCCCACAAUAUGUUUAUUGUAUGUUUGUUAUGUGGUAUUUUGGGGUAACUCACUAAUCUUCGUGCUUACGGAUUUUAGUUUAUGUUUCCGGUACUUUUGGUUGUAAAGGAAAGAGCUCGGGAUGACUGCAUUGCACACACCAUUGAGUUUCAGCUUAUGAUGUUUUAUUCUGAUUUUAUGGCAACUGAUACAUUAGUUUUAUUUAAAUGUUUGGAUGAUGUUGGAAGAUACUAUUUUAUCUAUUAUUAAAAAUGAAAUUUUUGGGACCAUAUUUUUGAAUGUUCCACUAGUAUGGAUUUCAGAUGAUUGGAUAGAAUGGCAUGGUUAUGUGGUGUGAUGGUUAGAAUUUCUCGAUGCUCGAAUGUUGCUUGCUUUGUGAUUUAUGGGACUCACAUUGAUGUGAGUUACUUACUUCAUGAAUAUGUUAAAUUACAUGCAGUAAAGGUUACAAAAUUCGAGAGUGAUUGACUUGGCAUUAUUACGCAGCUCUCAUCCGAGUCUAAUUGUUGUAGUAUUGAGUCUUUUAGUUAAAGGAUUGUCUAAUAUUUUUUGCAUGUAAUUGUAUUCAUGAAGAAGUUAGUUAACAUUACCAGGGGACCUUCAGCAACUGAGGGUAGGGUAGGGUGAGGACCCUAGGAAAGCCUAGGAAGUUUUUAGUGGGUUUUGAUGCGCUAUUUAGUGGGUAUUUGGAGUACCAGUUUGAGAAGGUGACUUAGAGGAUUCGAGAUGAUUCUUGAGGAAAGUAUGGAUAGGUGUGGAAGGUAGUAUUGGGCCCGUACUACAGAAAUCACAGGAUCCAUACUCAACUCAAGCAGGGCACAGAGAAUCUAGGAAGCCUGUGGGAUAAGGAUUCUUUGGGUAUGUUCUGAUUAUUGUAAGGUUGCUUUUCAGAAUGGUGAUGAGUACGCGAGGAGGAAGUUCAAGUUCUGGUUCAGGAUCAGAUGUUGGUACUGAGCCAAUUGAUGAGCAAAUGUGGGAGUUCAUCUCUUUGGAGAUUAACUUUGGUAUUUCAAAGUAGACUCCCGUCAUCUUCGAUUCAGUCAAGGAGGGGAUUAUGGAUAUUUUGGAUGAGCUUCUGGGAACGUUCCACACUUAGAUGUUGGCUAUUGUGGGAGCUCCCACUCUUUACUUCUAUUAGUUUCAUGCUUGCAGAGCUCCUCAGUUAUAUGGGGAGAAGGACCCUAUUGCUAGUAUGAAGUGGUUAGCGGACAUGGUGAACACUUUCUGGACAAUUUUCUGACCCAAGGAUUCAAAGGUCAAAUUUUCAUCCUAUCUUUUGAAAGAUAGAGCUCGAGACUGGUGGGAUAAGGUAGAUUUCGCUUUGGGAGGUAAGGUCAUUGAGACGAUGAAUUAGGAUGAGUUUGUGAACCGGUUUUGGGUGGAGUUUGCAUCAGCUAUUGAGUUGCAACAGUCGGCAAGGGAUUUCCAGGACCUUCGCCAGAUAACUGAUAUGUUGGCAGAGAUCACCGCCAAAUUCACGUACAGGGCCUUAUUUGUAACAACGUAAAAUUUCCAGUUAAAUUUUUAAUUUUUAAAACCACAAAAUGUCUAUCACAUCAUAAUUUCAAAUCCGAAACAACAGUGUUUUCAAAACAAAUUCCCAAGAUCUCUCAAAAGUGAACUCCAUCAGUGUGAGUGUGUACGAGUCAAGCCGUCGCCUUCCAACGGUCCUCGCUGGUACCUGAGACAUCAAACACAACAACUGUAAGCAUAAUGCUUAGUGAGUUCCCCAAAAUACCACAUACCACAAAUACGCCUCUCGAGGCUAACCCGACCCUCCGGUCAAGAUGUCUCAGCUGGACCCUCCAGCCCUACAGCUCGUUGGACCCUCCAGUCCGGUCAUAGCUCAUUGGGCCCUCUGGCCCGGUCUGAAUCGUUGGACCCUCCGGUCCGGUCUAUAUAGUCAUACAGCGUACAAAUAACACAUAGCAUAAAAUCUCAAAUAUAACACAUAAUCUCAUACAUAGCACAUAAGACCCUCUGGUCAACUCAGAAUACCACUCAAGGUACGUAUAGUGAGAAGACUCACCUCGUGGAAAGUCUAAGAUCUCGCGUACUCGCUAUCUCCCAAAAUCCAACGACGACUCUACCUCGCCUAAUCAUAAAAAUAUCAUAUUAAUACUCAAAGACUUUCAUAACAACACUUUUACCCCUUAACACCAAUCCUCAGAGGGUAAAAGACCAUUUUACCCCUCCUUGACCCAAAGUCUUCAUGUUGACCAAAACCCUAAAAAGUCAACAAAAGUCAACCCUACGAGUACGCGGGGCGUACUGCUUGAUGUACGCGGGGCGUACAUCGCCAACCCAUGGAUCGGGGUCUCCACCCAGUACGCUGCGCGUACUGGAAGUUACGCCCAGCGUAACCAUCAGACUUUAGCAUACAUCAUUUCUGGUCUUAAUCGGUUAAGCCAUUACUCCAACUUCUAGAUCCGGCUCAGUUUAUGCGUCUAUACCCAUAAAGUCGAGACCUUUAAGCCUUGGCAUGGCUGUAAAGGCUCCAACACUUCAUAACAUCACUCUAUUCCAACUCAAGGACCUAGAUCUCAUGCAUGGUGCAAUGUUCACGACCAAGAUUGCAUUUUUAUGAGUCUACAACUAAAAUAGACCAGAAAUACGAAGGAUCUAAGCUUAUGGAGACCAUUUGCUCAAAAGUCUCCACCUUUGGGACUAAAACCCUAGAAAAUGGUACAUGAAGCAUAUUACAAGAACUAUAGGACAAGAUCCGAGCUUUUUACCUUGAAAUGAAGCCUCAACCUUUGCUAAGCUCAGAUCUACACUUGAAUACCACUUCUAGCCUUCCCCAAUGAGCUCCUCUUCUCCUUUGCUACCUUGAAAUGGCACCACCAAGCUUAGAAUACUCACAAAUGGCCUAAGAACGGUUGCACACUCUCUUUAGGGUUUCUCUCUGAGGGAUGGUGGCUGAGAAGUCGAGCCACACAUUCCUUUUAUAGCCCUCCAAAAGAAUUAGGGUUUUUAGGUCUGGACUGAUUACGCCCCGCGUAACCAUGGGUACGCCCAGCGUACCUGAGGGUGAACGCGUACAAAUGAAGCGCACGAGUACGCGCAGCGUACACCUUGUACGCCCACCGUACUCGCUAAUCAUGCAGCCCUAAAAGAGAACAUAAUAAGGAUGAAGGGAUAAGUAUAAGGGUACCUGGUUUUCGGGCUGUUACAAUUCUCCCCCACUAGAACCAGACUUCGUCCCCGAAGUCUCAUACCGAAAACAACUCCGGAUACUAAUCCCGCAUCUGAGCCUCGGGCUCCCAUGUCAGCUCGGACCCCUUCCGAUGUUGCCACUGCACUUGUACCAAGGGUACUUCCUUGUUCCUCAGAAUCUUAACCCUUCGAUCCCUGAUAGCCACUGGCCUCUCCACAUAAUUCAGGUCUGCAUCCACCUGAAUAUCAUCCAAAGGCACCACGGCCGACUCGUCGGCAAUGCAUUUUCUCAACUGAGAAACAUGAAAGGUGUCGUGGAUCUGUCCCAAUUCAGCAGGUAGAUCCAACCGGUAGGCUACCCUGCCUACCCUAGCAAUUACCCUGAAGGGUCCAAUGUAUCGGGGUCCCAACUUGCCCCUCUUCCUGAAUCGUAUCACUCCUUUCCAAGGAGAGACCUUUAGGAGCACAAGGUCACCAACCUGAAACUCGAGUUCGGACCGACGCCUGUCCGCAUAACUUUUCUGGCGACUCUGCGCGGUCAACAAUCUCUGCCAGACCUGCUGUAUCUGCUCGGUCGUCUGGAGUACAAUCUCUGUACUACCUAUUACCCAUUGCCCCACCUCUCCCCAGCAGAUGGGGGUGCGACACCUCCUCCUAUACAACAGCUCAAAAGGUGGCAUACCAAUGCUCGAAUGAUGGCUGUUGUUGUACGAAAACUUUGCCAAGGGUAGAUAGGUGUCCUAACUCCCUCCAAAAUCCAAAAAACAUGCUCGGAGCAUAUCCUCAAGCAUCUGAAUCGUCCGCUCGCUCUGUCCGUCCGUCUGCGGGUGGUAUGCGGUACUGAAUGUAGCCUCGUACCUAACUCCUCGUGGAACUUCUUCCAAAAUCUGGAAGUAAAUCGCACAUCUCGAUCUGAAACAAUCGACAAUGGAACCCCAUGCCACGAUACCACCUCCCUCACAUACAACUCUGCCAACCUCUCAGCAGAAGAGCUCUCACUGAUAGCAAGAAAAUGAGCGCUCUUCGUCAACCUGUCCACAAUCACCCAAAUUGCAUCGACUCCUCUCGCAGUCCUUGGCAAUUUGGUGAUAAAAUCCAUGGUAAUCUGUUCCCACUUCCACUCGGGAAUCUCCAACGGUUGCAGCUUACCAUGCGGACGCUGGUGCUCGGCCUUAACUUGGCGACAAGUUAGGCACCUCUCGACGAACCAUGCAACAUCCCUCUUCAUACAGGGCCACCAAUACUCCUUCUUUAAGUCCAAAUACAUCUUAGUGGCCCCGGGAUGGAUCGAGAACUUUGAUCGAUGUGCCUCUUCCAUCAAAAUGGUAUGCGUCCCGCCCACAAACGGUACCCAAAUCCGACCCAGAAACGUCAUGAGCUCCCGACUAUAGAUAACGAACUCCGACACCUGCCCAACAACCCGCUCCCGCUUUCGGUUCUCUGGUCUCGCAGCCUCAGCCUGGGCCCCUCGGAUGGUGUCCAAUACCGGAGUCAUCACCGUCAACCUCAUACAAAUGCCUCGGAUCGGGGCGCUCUCCGACCUACGGCUCAAAGCGUCGGCUACGACAUUAGCCUUGCCCGGGUGGUACAGGAUCUCACAAUCAUAAUCCUUCACCACAUCCAACCAUCUCCUCUGGCGCAUAUUCAGGUUUGGCUGAUCCAUCAAGUACUUUAAGCUCUUGUGGUCAGUGUAUAUCGUACACCGAACCCCAUACAAAUAGUGACGCCAGAUCCUGAGGGCAAACACUACAGCCCCAACUCCAAAUCGUGGGUGGGAUAUCUCGUCACAUGAGGCUUCAACUGCCUCGAUGCAUACGCGAUCACAUGCCCUCUCUGCAUCAACACCGCUCCCAACCCCGAUAUCGAUGCAUCACAGUACACCACGAAAUCCUCCAUCCCUUCCGGUAGUGCGAGUACAGGAGCUUCGCACAAUCUCUGACGAAGGGUCUCAAACGAGGUUUGCUGCUCUGGACCCCAUGAGAAAGUAACACCCUUCCGGGUCAACUUGGUAAGUGGCACGGCGAUCUUGGAGAAAUCUCUGAUAAAUCUCCGAUAGUAGCCUGCCAACCCUAAGAAGCUCCUGAUCUCCGUAGGUGACCUCGGCACCUCCCAACUCAUCACAGCCUCGAUCUUGGCCGGGUCAACCAAAAUCCCAUCCUGGUUAACGAGAUGCCCUAAGAACUGGACCUCCCGUAACCAAAAAUCGCACUUGGAGAAUUUGGCGAAAAGCCUCUCCGCUCUCAGAACUCCGAGGAGCUCCCUCAAAUGUUCCUCAUGCUGCUCUCUGGUCCUCGAAUACACCAGGAUGUCAUCAAUGAAUACAAUGACUGAACGAUCCAACAUCGGCCUACACACCCUGUUCAUGAGAUCCAUGAAUGCCGCUGGUGCAUUGGUGAGCCCGAAUGGCAUCACCACGAACUCGUAAUGCCCGUAACGAGUCCUAAACGCCGUCUUCUGGAUAUCCUCAUCCCGAACUCUCAUCUGGUGAUAUCCCGAUCUCAAGUCAAUCUUGGAGAACCAAGACGCCCCCUGCAACUGAUCGAAUAGAUCGUCGAUCCUCGGUAACGGAUAACGGUUCUUGACCGUCAACUUGUUCAACUCCCGGUAAUCAAUGCACAUCCGUUGUGAACCAUCCUUUUUCUUGACAAAAAGGAUCGGCGCUCCCCAGGGAGAGCUACUAGGACGGAUGAACCCUUUCCCCAACAACUCUUGCAGUUGUGAGGAUAACUCAUGCAUCUCUGGCGAUGCUAGCCGAUACGGCGCCUUAGCGAUAGGCGCAGCCCCGGGAACCAAAUCGAUACGAAACUCCACCUGCCUCUCGGGAGGCACACCCGACAACUCCUUGGGAAACACGUCCGGGAACUCACGCACUAUUGGCACCUCAUCCACGGAACUUGGCCUCCCAGCGGCCUCUCGCACAUCUGUCACAUAGGCUACGAACCCCUUGCAGCCCUGCUGCAAACUCCGCCUCGCUCUAGCGGCCGAACAGAAAACCGAACCACCACGAGUCCCCUCGCCGUAAACCAUCAGCGCUCCCCCACUAGGAUCUCGGAUCGUCACCAAUUGACGCUCGCAAUCUAUGACAGCCCCAAAACGGCUCAACCAAUCCAUUCCCACUAUGACACAAACAUCCCCCAUAGCGAUCGGAAUCAAAUCAAUCGGGAACUCCACCCCGAAUAUCUCCAGCAUGCAUCCACGUAUCACCUCGGUAGCACAUACCUCACGCUCAUCUGCUAUGGAAACCCGCAGAGGUUGACUCAACGCCUCCCUCGGAUUGCUAAUGUACCGACUAAAAGCCAAAGAUACAAAAGACCGACUCGCACCCGAGUCGAAUAAAACCAAUGCAGGUACAGAACUCACAAGAAAAGUACCUACGCAUAACAUAUAGCAAUUACAAUAGCAUAAACUCAACAUAAAAUAGAUAAGAUUACAUACUCGCCACGACGUCAGGUGCUGCGCGGACCUCCUCCGCAGUCAGCUGGAAGGCUCUCCCCUUAGCCUUCGGUGCUUCGGCCUUCACUGGCUGGGUCUCAGCAGCUCGAACCGCAGGUGCAGAUCCCUGCACUGACCUCUGAAUCUGGGGGCACUCAGCCUUCCAAUGGCCGGUCUGGUUGCAAUGGAAGCAAAAUGAGAACCCCUUCGGACAGUCCCUCGCAAAAUGUCCUUCCUUCCCGCAUUUGUAGCAUACCCCAGUCUUGCACGGCCCAUCAUGGCUCUUGCCACACUUCCCGCAAGUGCGGCCCCUCGAACUACUCGUCCUCGAAUCAGCGGGCUUUGCCCGCUUGGCGGCUGGCUGCGACUGCACCGGUCGUCGAUCACCCAUCUGCAACUCAGUCUCCUCCCUCGCCUGUGUCUCAAGCUCGAUCUCCCUCUUCCUGGCAUUUGCCUGGAGCUCGGAAAAUGUUUGGUAAGUCGAGUUCGCCACGAACUCGCAGAUGUCCCUCCUCAAAAUACUCAGAUAACGGAUCAUGCGAGCCUGCUCAGUGGAUACCAACUCCGGGCAAAACAGCGUCCGCUCAUGAAACAUCCUCGUAAUCACUGUCACCGACUCUGUCCCCUGCUUGAGGGUCAGAAACUCCUGAGCUAAACGUUCCCUCUCCACCUGGGGAACAUACUCGUCACGAAACAUCGCAGUAAACCUCUCCCAGGUCACUGCAGUCAGCUCAGCUGUAGAAUAGCUCGCGGUCACAAAUUUCCACCAGUCCUUCGCCCCCAAGCGAAGCUGGUUGAGUACGAAUCACACCCUCAAGUGCUUCGGACAUGAGCACAUGUAGAAACACCCCUCCAUGUAUGAGAUCCACCUCAUAGCGGCGAUCGGGUCCUGCGUACCAUCGAACUCUGGUGGUUUUGUGUUGCUGAACUCUCGGUACAGCAACGAAUCACCACCCUGGGGUCUUGCAGCAGCAACAGCUGUUGUGGCUGCAGCAACAGCAGCAUCAGUCAAGGCAGCGUAACGCUCGUCAAACGUCUCGAUCAGUGUGGUCUUAAUAGACCCAAACAUCUCCGGAAUCUCGGCUCUGAUGGCAGCAGCCACCUCCUCAUGGAUGAUCCGACGGAUCUCCUCAUCGCUCACCCCACUGCUCUCGGGGUUAUGGCGUGUCCCGACCAUGAUCAACCUCUGAAAUACAACAUAAGAAAUAUCAGGGAUACUCUCGAGUAUACUCACACUCGAUAACUCAAACAUCCUCACUCCUGGUACCCCCAAGGAUUCUUACUUGGACUGCGCACCAAUCCGGUGUUUUCAAUAGUACGGGCCCAAUACUAUUGUCCACAUCGAAUCAAUAUACAAUCCAAGUCCUCCUCCUAGGAUCCCAAGUCGUAAAUACUCUACUCUCGCUAUGCAUUGGCUACCCUCAGUAGACCUAUCAUGAGCUCCUCACUGCUACCUACUCACUCUCAAAGUAUCUCAUAGCAGCAGUAAUCUCCUAGGCUAAGGUAUCACAAAUCAGGCCACUCUAGUCCUUAUAGGAAUACCUAGCCUCUCUAUCAUGCAUAAAAUAAUAUCUCAUAACUCAUAACAUAUAAUGUAAGGGUAUUUUGGGGAUUCACCGUUCGGGCGCUGGCUGACCGUACACACCAUCCACUUUGCUCGUUUCCAAAACUUCUUUUUCUUUUUAGAAAAUUUGCAGUUUUGGUUGUAAAAUUUCUCAAAUCCUCGGUUUGAGUUCAAAUACGCCCGAAGGUGCAUCCAAAUCCCUCAAACCAAGGCUCUGAUACCAACUUGUAACAACGUAAAAUUUCCAGUUAAAUUUUUAAUUUUUAAAACCACAAAAUGUCUAUCACAUCAUAAUUUCAAAUCCGAAACAACAGUGUUUUCAAAACAAAUUCCCAAGAUCUCUCAAAAGUGAACUCCAUCGAUGUGAGUGUGUACGAGUCAAGCCGUCGCCUUCCCACGGUCCUCGUUGGUACCUGAGACAUCAAACACAACAACUGUAAGCAUAAUGCUUAGUGAGUUCCCCAAAAUACCACAUACCACAAAUACGCCUCUCGGGGCUAACCCGACCCUCCGGUCAAGAUGUCUCAGCGGGACCCUCCAGCCCCGCAGCUCGUUGGACCCUCCGGUCCGGUCAUAGCUCAUUGGGCCCUCUGGCCCGGUCUGAAUCGUUGGACCCUCCGGUCCGGUCUAUAUAGUCAUACAGCAUACAAAUAACACAUAGCAUAAAAUCUCAAAUAUAACACAUAAUCUCAUACAUAGCACAUAAGACCCUCUGGUCAACUCAGAAUACCACUCAAGGUACGUAUAGUGAGAAGACUCACCUCGUGGAAAGUCUAAGAUCUCGCGUACUCGCUAUCUCCCAAAAUCCAACGACGACUCUACCUCGCCUAAUCAUAAAAAUAUCAUAUUAAUACUCAAAGACUUUCAUAACAAAACUUUUACCCCUUAACACAAAUCCUCAGAGGGUAAAAGACCAUUUUACCCCUCCUUGACCCAAAGUCCUCAUGUUGACCAAAACCCUAAAAAGUCAACAAAAGUCAACCCUACGAGUACGCGGGGCGUACUGCUUGAUGUACGCGGGGCGUACAUCGCCAACCCAUGGAUCGGGGUCUCCACCUGGUACGUUGCGCGUACUGGAAGUUACGCCCAGCAUAACCAUCAGACUUUAGCAUUCCUCAUUCCUGGUCUUAAUCGGUUAAGCCAUUACUCCAACUUCUAGAUCCGGCUCUGUUUAUGCGUCUAUACCCAUAAAGUCGAGACCUUUAAGCCUUGGCAUGGUUGUAAAGGCUCCAACACUUCAUAACAUCACUCUAUUCCAACUCAAGGGCCUAGAUCUCAUGCAUGGUGCAAUGUUCACGACCAAGAUUGCAUUUUUAUGAGUCUACAACUCAAAAUAGACCAGAAAUACGAAGGAUCUAAGCUUAUGAAGACCAUUUGCUCAAAAGUCUCCACCUUUGGGACUAAAACCCUAGAAAAUGGUACAUGAAGCAUAUUACAAGAACUAUAGUACAAGAUCCGAGCUUUUUACCUUGAAAUGAAGCCUCAACCUUUGCUAAGCUCAGAUCUACACUUGAAUACCACUUCUAGCCUUCCCCAAUGAGCUCCUCUUCUCCUUUGCAACCUUGAAAUGGCACCACCAAGCUUAGAAUACUCACAAAUGCCCUAAGAACGGUUGCACACUCUCUUUAGGGUUUCUCUCUGAGGGAUGGUGGCUGAGAAGUCGAGCCACACAUUCCUUUUAUAGCCCUCCAAAAGAAUUAGGGUUUUUAGGUCUAGACCGGUUACGCCCCGCAUAACCUUGGGUACGCCCAGCGUACAUGAGGGUGAACGCGUCCAAAUGAAGCGCACGAGUACGCGCAGCGUACACCUUGUACGACCAGCGUACUCGCUAAUCAUGCAGCCCUAAAAGAGAACAUAAUAAGGAUGAAGGGAUAAUUAGAAGGGUACCUGGUUUUCGGGCUGUUACAUUAUUUGUUCCACAGUACGUUGUAGAUGAGGAGAUAAAGAAGACAAGGUAUCAUGAUAUGCUAUGAGAGAAUAUCAGGGAGUUGGUUUGUUUUUCCGUUUGUUGGACCUUGGAGGACAAGAUAGAUAGAGCUAGAUAGCGGUAGAUUGAUUUGGAGAAAUUUAGGAAGAGGAAGCCAAAGCAGGUACAGACAAAUGGGAGCCCUACAAAGAGACCCAAAAUUUAUGAUCACCGAGUGAGGACCCAGCAGAGCCAAGUUCAGUGCAGCAUGUAUGGGAAGCAACAUGAUGGGGUUUGUCGAUCUAGGGGUAUGGGUUGCUACAAGUGUGGCAGGGUUGGUCAUGUCAGCAGAUAUUGUCCGCAGGGAAAAAUUCUAUUACAUUUCCACUGCAACCAAGUGGGCCACAAGAAGGCCGACUGUCCGAAUUUGAUGAGGGAAGCAGUGAGGGCACCUGCUCCAGCCAUUCUUAGAAUUAUUGAUGGUCAUGAGGGCGGAUUGGAUGUUCCUAUGGUGAUGACCCAAUCAUUAUAAUCAUAGUCCGAGGAGAUCCGAGUUUCACCCGUCGACAUCGCAAGUAUGUGUUGUAUUCACUUCUUUCAUGCCGUUAUUAUUAAUUGUGUCUAUGAUUAUGUGUUUUUGUAUGAGACGCCAGGUGUGGUUUAUUUAUGUUUCCACCUAAGAAUCAGAAUUCUUUUCAUGAUGGACCAGACAUUUUAUUUUGAGAAUAUUCAUAUGCCAUUUUGCAUACCAAGAGUCGAGUUUAGAGGAUAUUCGGGUGAUUCGGUUUUAGAUUUUGAUGUAGGAGGCAUCAACUAUCAUUACAACAAAAUUAAAGUAGGAAAAGAUUAGCAGUCGGUCCCAUCUUUGCUGGUGUCAACAAGAAUUCAAGGAAUCCACAAUAUGGGCAUGUUGGGUUUGAAUGCAAGAUAUGUAGGAGGUUUUCAUGGUUACGAGGCAAUGAGGAAUUGGUUUGAUCAUGGGUGUAAGAUCGGUAGUUAUCAAGUCCAUACCUUCAAAGUGUGGUCAAUUGUAGGUUUGCAUGGGAAUUGCUCUAGUGCAAGUAGGUUGUUGAAUUGGUUGGGUACCCGUUUCUAUAUUUGAGAUGUUGUUCUUCAUCAUCCGAUAAGUCAUUGACGACUUGUAGUGGAGUUAGUGGAAAGUGCUUGGAAUCAUUAAGCUCAUUGAGAUUUCGGGAAGUAUUCAUCUGGUUUUGGAAUGUCUGUGUUUGCUAAGAUUGGCUAGUAUUGGGAUGCUAGUUCUUAUAAGCUUAGGUUGUCGACAGCGUGAACGAUAAAUUUGUGAGAUGGAUUAGAAAUCCAUAAAUUUUGUGGAUUAGAAAGGGCAUAGUCGACCACGUACAAACUUUGAGUACCGUAGACUCUUGAGCUUGCAGUUCACCGUAGAGCUUGUAGAGAGAGAGAGAGAGAGAGAGAGAGUAGAUUUUUUUAUCCCCUUGGACAAUCAUUUUGGCAGUUGUCCAGUGUCUUCCAAGACCAUUUAGAAACUAAAGAUUUGUUUCAUGGUUGCUUCGGAUCGUGCCAGCAUUGGAUAGCUUUGUGACUAUCAGAUUAAACCUUUUAAAGGAAUCCUCCAAACUUUCACCCGCAUGAGCUUUAAAGUUGUUAAACUCAUUGAGUGCAGUAGUAAGUUUUUUGUCUUGAGCUUGUUCAGUUCCUUCAUACAGAUUUUUCAGAACAUCCCAAAUCUCCUUAGCAGAAUUGCAAUUUAUGAUUAUGUCGAAGUUGUCAGGCGCAACUCCACAAGAAAUCUCAUAAAAGGCAACAGCAUCAUUUUCCAUUUUGUCAAGAUCGUCCAUGGUGGGACGAUUCAACGUUUGUUGACCUCUACCUAGUCUGACUGUGGCUGGUUUGUACUGGAGUAAGAACAAGAACAUGAGGUCCUUCUUCUACAUAUCUCCAUAUGUCUCUUCCAAGUUUCCUUAAAUAUCUUUCCAUUCUUUGAGACCAAUUAUGAUAUUCAUUUGCCACAAGUAUUGGUGCUCUAUUCGAACCACCAACACUAUUUGAUACAUUAAGAAAUAAUGCUUGUGCCAUAUUUCCUUGUUUUGAAAAAAAAAAAUUUGUGAGAAGUGAGCUUUAGUGGUAUAGAAGGCUUUUUGAAAAUUAGAGUUUUGCUUCAAAAGGCAACCACUUUGGCUCUGAUACCAAUUGUUGAGAGAAAAACUUGAGACACACUUGAACAAACGUUAGAACAAGUAUAGUUGCGAAAUAGUUUAUUUCAAAGGAUCAUAAAAGCUAAACAAUAAUAAUAAGUUAGAGUUAGAUAAUUUGAGAGUUAGGUGUGGAAAUGUAAGGAAAUAUAAAUGACAGCAGGUGUUAUAUCAAGUAUACACAUAAUUUGAUUCUUAACAAGGUAUGCAUUCAAACCAAGUUAGUAAAUGAGAUCAAACUUAGUGAUUAAGUCAAGAAUGACUUGCUCCGAAGAGAGAUGAUAUCUAGUUGUGAUAUGGUGAAUUUGGAGAGUAAGAAAGAGAUGAGAGUAAUAGCACAAGAUAUGAGAUUUAAGAUGCAAAGUGUUAUCAGAAGAUGUAUAUUUUCUUGAGAAAGAUUGAGUUCUAUAUAUAGAGACUCAAAGGUUACACUUGUUCAUCUAUCUAAAUGUAGCCAUGCAAGGUAUACUGGAUAAAAGAGAGUAUUCUAAGAAAAGCAAAUAAAAAAGCUAAACUAAUAAAAACUAGAUAGUGAACUGUUGAUGAUGAUGACUUCGGAUGUGGUUGCUGACGUAACUUGACUGCGGAUCUUCAAGGGGUUGUGGUAGGUCAAGUUUAAGAGGGUCAUUUUUAUGAUUCAACAUCUUCUUUCAAUCAUGUAUUUGUAUCUCAUUCAGACAUUAUGUUAUGGCAUCAAUGAUUUGGUCGUGUUCCUUUAGAAUCAUUGAAACAUAUAUUGUCUUUUCCUUCCAAUUAUACCCUUUCCUGCUAUUAAUGUUUGUUUUACUUGUGAUCAAGCUAAACUUAACUAGACCAUAUUUUCCUCACAAUGUUACUUAUAUUAAUGCUCCAUUUGAUCUUAUUCAUGUGGAUGUAUGGGGUCCAUACAAACAUCCAAUAUAAUGGAUUCAAUUUUUUUCUUACCAUUGUUGAUGAUCACACAAGGAAAACAUGGAUUCAUUUAUUAAAUCAUAAAAGCUAUGCUUUCACUUUAAUAAAAUCUUUUGUGACCUUUAUUCAAACCCAAUUCUAAGUUACCAUCAAGUGCAUCUGUACUGAUAAUGCAACAGAACUUGGAUCAAGUUUAGAUGGAAAACAAUAUUUUCAAACAUAUGGAAGCAUUCAUUAGAACUCCAUACCUCGUACCCCUCAACAGAAUGGUCUAGUAGAGAGAAAACAUCGACACAUUCUUGAGGUUGUAAGGGCAUUGUACUUUCAAUCUGGUAUUGGAAGUUCUUAUUAAGGAGAAUGUGCAAAGAUGGUUGUUUACAUCAUUAAUAGAAUCCUUUCGAAAUUUAUCAACAACAAAUCCCCUUAUUAGUUGUUGUAUAAUAAGGAGCCUGAUUUUCGGUCAUUAAAAGCAUUUGGAUGCCUUUAUUAUGUAUCUUCUUUAUAUAUCAACAGAGAUAAAUUCAUGAUCAGGGCCCAUCCUUGUGUUUUUAUUGGAUAUUUAAAUGGUCAGAAAGCAUUCAAAGUACUUAGUUGGGUUAAUCAUACCAUUUAUGUCUCAAGAGAUGUCAAAUUUAUUGAAAAUAUUUUUAUCCUCUUCAUGCCAUCAAACAACUAUCAUCUACUUCUUAUAUCCCACACACUUCAAAAGAUAUAGCAAAUUCACAAUCCAUACCACAACCUAAUUCCAGAACAGACUAUACUUUCCUUCAUGUUCUAAUCUCAUCUUAAAAGGUAGCAUUUCUAGCUACAAGCAACUAUCACGAUACCUCUACCGGUCACUUUGAUUAUUUUUUAUUUCAAUCUUCCGGCUUAAGUCAGAUGUUACAUCAAACUUGGUUCUCGGAACCACGUAACAUACUCAUCGUAGUCGGAAUCAAUUUGGUAUGACCACUAGGGUCGGAAUAACAACAAUCUUCUUAGUCAUUACCGAAACAAUGGUAAUGACAUACUUGAAUAAAACGGUAUCAAUUACUAGCUUCUUGGUAACCUUGUGACUUUUUCUGAUCCAAGUGUGAGUCUUGUGCUUCCGGUAGUAUAGGCCUCUACUACCUUUCACACCUACUCAUACCCGUCCCAAGUAUUGUCUCGCAGUUCAUUAUCACAAAAACAAUUUUAACACAUACAAAUGUGUCCAAACAAUCAUAUAAUAAUUUUUUUUUCUAAACUCUACUAGGACUUCUUCCAUGCGUAUCUUCAAUCAUCAAUUCUGCUUCAACUUGGUUGGUGAUGGAAAUGUCAAACGAUGGGACAACUUCGGGAAUUACGCCAAUCGUCCCAUCAUCUCUCCAAUCGAAGGUGUACUUCGGACAUAUCGUACUCCUCUAAACGUACUGUCUGACAUAUUCUAAAGGCAAGAUAUCACUCUUACAAUAUCUUCUGAUAGAUGUCAUUCACUAUCAUAAGCCAUUUCAUUUCCUUUAUUUACUCAAUUCUCUAUGAGUCUUCACCAUGACGUUAUUUUCACGGAAGCAUGCAUUUAUUGAAUCGAGAUGAGAAUAUAGAUAUAGAAGAUGUGGAUGUGUAAUCCUCCUUAUUACUCCGAAAAGUUACAUGCUAGUUCUAAUACCGUAAUUAAACGUUUAGAAAUCUAAACACAUAAAAUUUCCAGAUCCGGUCAGCAACAGACCAUAGAUCCGAUCAGACGAUAGCAUAAAGCAUCACAAAUCAUUUAGCACAUAAAAGCAUUUUAGGCAUCUUCCCUAAUUAAGCUAGUGCUUGUGUCUAUUCAGGUGCACUUCCUAAAAUAUAUUAGACACACCCCUCACGAUCAUCGCUUAGCAUUCUAAGUUUAAGUCUAGAAAUAAAUCAUUAUUCCUAGUUCGCUUAAACUAAUGCUCCGAUACCAACUAUGACAUCCCCAUUUUCACGACCAGAAAAGACCGAUUUUGUUUAUGUUUUAUAAAAAUCAGAGUACCUCUUUAAUAAAAAUGUUGCGGAAUUUGUUCCCAGUAAAACAUGAUAAAUACGUUAUCAAAUACUUUCUGAAGAAAAAUAUUUUUAUUCAUUUUAAAACAUUUGGGAUGUCAUCAUCAAUACAGAAACAUAAGCAUAAACAGAACUUACAUUCAUUAUCACUAGUGAUUUAUAUCUCCUUAAUCUUUCAGUAUAAUGUGACUUCAUAUCAACACAUGUGAUAUAAAUAAACUGAGUGGGUCAGGUUGGGAAACCUGGUGAGUACAUAGGGAUUUCAACCCACCAUAAUAUAAUUAUUAUGUUUAAACAUCAAACAAUCAACCCAAUUACUCAUCCCCGUUAUCUUCUUUACUCUUAAGGAUCUACCCUAAGAAUCAAUUAUUCCUCGUUCAUUUAUUCCUAAGGAUCAUCCUAAGGUUUUGGCACGAAGUCCAUCGUUACCAAGGUUUAUAGAUUACAACCGGUGAACACGUAGUCCAAACAUCUGGUAAACACUUAAUUCAAAAAUACCUAGUGAACACACUCAGUUCAAAAUACCUAGUGAACACACUCAGUUCAAAAAUACUUAGUGAACAAACUCAGUUCAAAAUACCUAGUGAACACACUCAGUUCAAAAAUACAUAGUGAACACACACAGUUCAAAUAUACCUAAUGAGCACCUAGUUCAAAAACACCUACAGGUUACGAGCCUAUUAGCGUUCCACUGGACUGUCUAGUAUAGUCCGUGGUCGUCAUCUAUACUCCACUAGAUGACUAGAUCACUGUCAACAUUGAUGUCUUUCACCGUGUUAUCACACAGCAACUAUUUCAUCUACCCAUCUUUUACCCAACACAUUUUGUAGAUAUAAAAUACAUAUACAGUUUAAAUCAUUUAAAACAUGUAUAAAAAUCUUUCACCCAGCAUAGACAACAAGUAUUCAGACAAUAUGCACACAUAGCAUGUAAUUUAUAUUAAAAUACUUCAUAUCUAUGUGUAAGAUGAAAGGGACUAUGCACUCACUUGUUAAGGUGGUGACUCGGCACUCGGACAGCACUUCGUUACUCUUAACACAAUUUUCCUCGGACAAAACCUAGUAUCAUUAUCACUAGAGUUUAGUCUAACAUUCACCGAGAGUAAUUAAUUGUCUAGCUAUUAUUACUAUUAUAUAAGCGUUAAAGGGUACUUAUAUAACCCAUAAUAAUAGCCCAAGUACUUAUUAUAAGAUCCUAAUAACAUUACUAUAUUAAAACAUAAGUUAUACUAAAGAUAGGUUAGGCGUAGCUCACUUACAACGGAUUUUUCUCAAACCUGGGCUUCGCUGGAGCAGCAUUUCCGAGCCGAAAGGAUCUUCUUCUCCGAGCCGUCGGGCGCUCCGGGGCUUUCGCCUCGUGCUAGGGAGUUACCCUAGGCUUUAGGGGGGUUUGGGGGCUUAGAGGGAGAGUCUAGAGAAAGAAAGUUGUGGUGAAUUUGUGAAGAAAAGAAGCUGCCUUUGCAACCUAUUUAUAGGCUGAAUUGGGGUCACUCACCUCAUGAGUUUUUAGUGUUCACCUCGUGAGCUUGCUUAGGCUAUGAGGCAAAGCCUGGUGCUGACACGUGGCAUCGCACACAAGGUGUAAAUCAUCCGAUUUUCAAAAAUUCAUAACUUUCGCAUACGAGCUUCAUUUUCGACGUUCUUUAUAUCCACGCGUAGUUAAAAAUAAGAUCUACAACUUUCAUUUAGGCUCCGUCAGCUAAUUCUCGACCGACUUAAAUUUAAUAGUAGGAGGAGAUUAUACUGUUAAGUGUCCGCGUAAAAUUCAUAACUUCUACAUACAGACUCCGUUUUCGUCUGUCUUUUUAUCGUUGAGUUCCUAUUAAUGAGAUCUUCAAAUCUCAUUUAGAUCGCGUAGGCCAAAAACCGCUCGAACUAAAAUUCGAGUUUCGGGCCAUGCACUGUUAUACCAAAUCUUAGAAAAUUCAUAACUUCCUGAUACGAAGUCAGAUUUGAGCGUUUUUUUUUAUAUGUUCUUGGUUUAACGUAUACUAAAACUUUUGUUUAUAUUAAUAAGGCUAAAAAGUCAUUUAUCAAAAAUUCACUAUUUAUGUCUCCCGGUGCCGUGCCGGUUUUGCCGUAAAACUUCAACGGGUNAAUCAACAUAUAUAGGUUUAGAUAUUACACAUUGAUACCCUCUAUUCUAUAAUAUAUUGAUUUGUGUCUAAUAUAUAUAUAUAUAUAUAUAUAUAUAUAUAUAUAUAUAUGUUAGUUAGAAAUCAGUUAUGUACAAGGGUAUUUUUGUAAUUUACCAGAUAUUUUAGUUUGCUAGCUCUCUUUAUGUAUAAAUGUUGUUGAUUGUGUAAUCGUUUUCUUAUAAUUUCUUUGUUCUUUCAAUUCUCUCAAGAUUACAAGAGUUGCACAUAAAUCAGAUUAAAAUCAGUACGGAACGGUUUGGGUUUCAAACUUUUGCCAAACUUGAUUUUGGUGUCUGAAUUUAACAAAAUUUGCAUGUUGAUCAUAAAUGGGUUAAAAAGCAAUUUUCAAUACUUUGUCAUGAUGUAAUGUUUUUUCGGCCAUUUGGCAAUAAGAAAGAGUAAAACCGAGCCAAUAACUGUUCAUUCCAUAGAAGAGAGUUGAAUAACAAGCAUGGGGAUCUUAAAUACAAAUAGCAUUCAUUUUAGUACACCAUAAUUUACACACACACACACACACAAAACUCACAAACCCUAUAAAUUUUAAGAUCGGCUCUUGAAAGGAAUGGCCCUGAUGACUAUCUGAUGAUACAUAGCAGCAAGUGCAGCUCCAAUAAAGGGUCCAACCCAGAAGAUCCACUGCAAAUUUCCAAAAAGACACAAUUACCCUUUUAGAACAUAUUCAUCGUAAGUCCAUUUGUUUAUUCAAAAUCCAAUCUUGAUGUGUGUUUAAUUUAUUAUGUAAAUAAAUGGCUUACUUGGUCAUCCCAUGCAUGGUCCUUGUUGUAGAUGAUUGCAGCUCCAAGACUUCUUGCAGGGUUGAUACCAGUUCCGGUGAUGGGGAUGGUGGCUAAGUGAACCAAGAACACUGCAAACCCGAUUGGGAGAGGAGCAAGAAUCUGAAAAAGACGCAUUUACCCUUUUAGAACCUAAUGUUUAAACCUAACCCUAAUCCAACCAUUGUCUAAUUUUGGGGUAGGGCUUAGGUCCUAGUAUCUUUUGACACAUGUAUUCUCUCAUUGCCUUUAGCUUUUCUAUAUUUAUAGUGAAUUGACAGAAAUGACCUUGCAUUUUAAGCUAUCUAGAACAAAUGAUGACAGAGAAAAAGCAUUAAUGCACUAACAAACAUAAAGAGAAAUGAAGUGCACAUGAAACCAUCAUCAUCACUAACAUGCCAAAACAAAAGAAGAUAGAGACGUAAAGUUACUUGCCUAACUUUACAAGAUUCUCCCAACAAGAAAAAAAUAACAUAAAGGGCAGUAUAGUAAUUAUCCAUAAAGUAAUUAAACAUACUUUUGCAUAAACAAUGAGCCUUAUCUUUAAAACCACUAGUUGGGUAGUGUCAAAAAUAGCAUUACUUUUUCCGAAUCAAAUUGAACACUAAGAUAAUCAAGAUUUCUUUAAUGGCAUAUACCACUCACCAAUAAAUGCAUCAAUUUCAAAUCUGGGACGUUGUUUUAAGUUAAAAUUACUUAUUUGCCCAUGGUGGUAGUUCAUAUCGCCAUCAAAAGCAGUUCAAUUCUUUCAAGAUCGAAUCCAUAACCAAGAAAUCAACAUUUUUUAAAGAACGUGACCGAAUUAGGAUGCCAUAAGAAUCAAAAUUGCAGUAAUUCCUAUCCUUGGUGUCGUUUUUUUAAGUUGAAAUUACCAAUCUGCCCAGUGCCCAUGACGGUGGUUCAUAUGGGCAUAAAAAAGCUCAAUUCUUUCAAGAUCCAAUUCAUAACCAAAAAAAUCAAGACUUCGAGACCCAUAAAACAUUCAAGUCGCAGCAUUUUAUCAGUUUAGUAGGCUAAAUUACUUAUUUGCCUGUGCUGUUGGUUUGAAUAUGCACAAGAUUUCUCUUUUUUGAAGGGCAUUUAAGACAAACGACCAACUACAAAAGCAACGAUAAAAAGUUAUGAAAAGAGUAUAUACAUACAGGAACAUGGGAGUCUCUGGCACUUCUCUUAGCAUCAGUAGCAGAAAACACGGUGUAAACAAGAACAAAAGUGCCAAUAAUUUCAGCACCAAGACCAUCGCCUUUGGUGUAGCCAUGGGCUACGACAUUGGCUCCACCACCCAAAGUGGUGAACUGGUUUUUGCCCUGAAAACCUUUGACCACACCUGCACCACAUAUGGCUCCAAGACAUUGCAUAAUCAUGUAGAACAAUGCUCUUGUUAGAGAUAGCUUUCUUGCUAGUAAUAAACCGAAGGUCACUGCUGGGUUGAUGUGUCCUCCUGUUUUAGAUCAAUAAAGAAUAUGUUUGAUUAGUAAAGAUCGGGUUUUUUUAGGGUAAUUACAAGAACCCAUGUCGUAUAAAGAAAAAUAGUGGUUGAUUUGAAGUGGGUUUGUAGAAAAUGUAUCGAUAUUGAUUAUUGAAACCGAAAGAAUAGAAGUUGGACUUAUCAGGGGUCGAAAAGAAAAUUUUCUUAAAAAUAUGUGUUCAAUUCAAGAAAAUGUUGGGCUUAUUAAAGCACGUUGUUUUUUGGAAAAAUGAAGUUUAGAGUCUAUUGACAAUUUGAUGGUGUUUGAAUUUUUAUUUGAAUGUGAUAAUGGAAUGUUGAAGCUGUUAUCAAACCGAUUAUUAAACCCAUAAAUAAUCAGAUAAUCACCUUCAGACAAAUAGAUCAAGACGAUUAAAUACUAAAAAGAUGUUAUGAAGUUUAAAAAUCAUGAAAAAAAUUCAAAAUUUCUGAAGCGGACCAUCGAGAAAUCUAAACCAAUCACUCAAGAAAAAAAACCCAAAAAAAUUAUACAUUUGUUAGUUAUACAAAAUAGAAAAUAAAAAAGAUUUUAAUACAAGUAUUUUGUGGAAACAAAAUCAUGAAAAAUAUAUGAAACUCCAAAGCAUCCCAUCAAGAAGAUAUAAAAUUGUGCUAAAUUAAAACUUUUAACAUAAAUAAAACACACACACAUGUUUUUGAUGGUUUUACAAUAUAAUACAGUUUUUGAAACAAAGGUUUUGAAAAAAAAAAUCAUGAAAAACAGAAAAUAUGAAGCAAACCCCAUCAAGAACAUCAAAAAAAGUCCUUAAACAGUCAACAUAAAGCUAAAACUAUGCUAAAUUAACACCUAAACCAUAAAGAAAACACCAAAAACACAUGCUUUUGAUGUUUUACUAUUAAAAACAGACAUGGGUUUUGUGAAAAGAAUCAUGAAAAACAUUCAAAACUGUGAAGAUCUAAAACGUUCACUCCAUCACUAAAUCAACACUUCAAACAUAAACAAAACUACAAAGAACACAUGAUACUUUUUAAAAGCAGAAUUUGAAACAAGCUAGGGUUUUGUAGAUGAUAUAUAUACCUGAGAUACCAGCAGUGCAGUAGACAAGGGCAAAGAUCAUACCCCCAAAAGCCCAAGCAAUACCUUGAAUACCCACAGUCCCACAUUUGGUAGGAGAUUUAGCGACACCCAUAACAGUCAACACAGUGAUGUACAAGAACAAGAAAGUCGCGAUGAAUUCAGCGAUUCCAGCUCUGUAAAACGACCAUGACGACAACUCUCCGGGCUCAAACAGCGGCGCCGGUGGUGGUUCCUUGUAAUCUUUGUCAGUCUGAGCUGAUGUUCCGAUGGGUUGUCUCUCGGAAAACUUGUUCGCUCCGAGCUUAACAUCUUCUUCCUUCCCCUCCAUUGUUGCUCAAACCUCUCUCUCUUUCUAUUCUCUCUCUCUCACACACAGACACACACCUGGUAGUGAGGUUGUGAAGAGGAAGGGUGGUGUUAAAGGGAUUUUAUAGGUGAGAAGUCAUCAUUUUAGCUUUAGAAAGAACCAGAGGGGGUCGGUAAAGGGUAAUUGUUGUCAUUUAUCGUUUUAUGAAAUUCAAACGUUUUUGUUUGAGUUUUGUGAAGUGUCAUUUGUAUUAUUCUUUUAUGGGAUAAUGUCGUAUAACAAAAACUUUUAUUAAAAUAAUAUAUUAAAUCAUUUUUUAUAGUUCUUUUUACGAUUUUAUAUAUGAAAAUGGAAGAGUAGUGUUUUAAAUCAUUUUUAUAGUUCUUUUUACGAUUUUAUAUAUGAAAAUGGAAGAGUAGUGUUUUAAAUCAUUUUUAUAGUUCUUUUUACGAUUUUAUAUAUGAAAAUGGAAGAGUAAUGUCUGAUUUUAAAAAGUUCUAAUCAUUGAUCUAGAAAUUUGACAGUAAUAGCAUUAUGCUUGAAGUAUUCUAUGUUUUUUUUUAUUAUAACAUGCUCUUAUCCACCCUACACUCUCAUUAUUAAUCUGAAUUUUAAACAUUUUAAUUGAUUGUGUUCAUUAUUAUCAAUGUAACAUGAAGGUUAAUUUAGUAAUUUAGAGACAUAAACUUUAUGUUUUCGACAAAUAAACAAAUUACAGAUCGGUACUUGUGAUUAAACAUAUGAUCCAACUCAUCAAUUUUUAUAAGGCCUUCAUAUUAGGUGAUAAUUAACAUAUAUUUAAAAUACAAAUUAUGAUUAUUCAUCGUUUCUAUAUAUCAUCAAUCUAUCUAUGACUAUAUAAAGCAACUUGAUCCAAAAAAUUUGACAAAACGUUCACUUUAAACAAAAAAAACCGUUCAAUAGUAUGAGCUUUUAGUUUUUUAUUUAAGCAAAAAAUUCUAAAACUAAAAAAUACUUCAUAUAGCGUUUAUGAGAAAUUUAUUUAACUUUUAGAAUUAGUUUUCAUAACUGUCCUUAAAAAUAUAUUUAUAUAUUUAUCUUUUUUAAACAAUUGUUUUAUUAUGUAAUUUUAUACAUUCAAAAAGUUUGUAACUAUUUUUAUCAAACACUCAUAUAACAAAUAAAAGUUAUAAUUUCCAGCUUCCAGCUAUUAGCUACCCGCUACCCGUUACCAACUACCAGUUAGUUUUGUCAAACACACCCUAAAUCUCGAACAUCUAAUUUAUAUUUGGAUAAUCAAAUUCACAAUUAUUAAUUCAACAAUUAAAACCAUUUAGGUUAUGCUGGAAAAAAUAGAUUUCUCUAUUUUCGAAAAAUAGGGUUUUACCAUUUUUGAACACAAAUUCAAAACCUGGUUCAUUAUGGAAAUGGAUAAACAAUUAUAUAUUUGUGUUCUCCUCCAUAAUACUUUCUUUUUUUAAUAUAUUAUAUGUCAAAAUCAGAAUUAAAACUGAUGAAAAAUUUAAUAUUUAAAGUGAGGUAGUUUGAUAAAUUAGAUAAAUAAUAUUAAUUAAUUUAAGUCAUCCAAUAUAGAUCGGGGGAGGAAAAAUGUGAAUAUAAUCAAUAUAUAAAUAGAAAGGUUUCUUGGCCUUAUAAAACCUAUACCACUAAGGCUCAUGUUAUUUUUGUUUCUAUGUUUUUCUGUUACUAUUGUUAAUGUAUCCCACCGAGAAUACGUCAAAAAUAACGGAAUUGUCAGACAGUUUGGACAAAGACCAGCGUAUGCCUAACGUCAAAGUCAGUGUCGAGACAAAAUAGUACCAGCCGCCCCUCGGAGCGAUAGGUGUACCACUCAAAACGUCGCACCUGGCAGCCCUGCACCAAUGGUAAGAAACUACGCACGGAGCACGAUCUACCAAUCAAAGGUCGUCUUCUCAUGUCACUCCUGAAAAGGUAAAAGAUUUUGUCGGGGAUUUAUUCCCCCGAUCACAGGUAUAAAAAGGUCCCUUCUCCUCAAAGAGAGGGGACCGUGAAAAAAAUAUAUGAACCCUUACCUUAUAUUUUCACCUUCUCUCUAAAAGGAAAACUUACUUGGUCAUUGGAGCUUCGUUCCGGGACUCCCUGAUGAAAACUGACAAGCUUGUUUCCUUUGUUGUGAUUCCCAGGCCCUCUAUUCCCUUCUUCGAAGAGACGGAGUCAAGUCGGAGGCUUAUCAAAACAACUAUCAAGGUAAAAUAUGGGCUUCGCUAAGUUUUUUUAGUUGUUGUACUUGAAAAACAAACUACAUUACCAUAAUACAAUUCCUAUGUGUUAUUUGGAAAAUAUGAUUUGGGUUUGGUUAUUCAUGUUUGGUUAUUAAACAAUCAUGUAUGAUAUAACUCAUAAAAAAAUAAAAUAAAAAAAUAAAGAUAUAUUACUCAAGUUUUGGGGAGGACACAGUUUAAGAUACAAAAACUUGAAACCUAACAAUUAAGGCUAUGUAUUUUUUGUAAAACUAAAUAACUAGUUGCUAGUCAAUAAAAAUAACAUUCGGUAAAACUAGCUGAUAAGAAAGCUUAAAUAUGUGAAAUGACAUAAAAAGACAUGUAGAAAAUUAAGUUUUUCUGUAAUUAAUAAAUAUUAUAUUUGGAAGAAUUUUAAAAAAAUCAAUAAACCCAUUCAAACGCUAAUCUGGAGACCUGUUAAAAAACUAGCUUAUAAACAAUUUUUUGUUUACCAAACAUAACAAACUAAAAAAUCAAAAAAUAUUAAUGAUUUUUCAUUUGAUUUUACCAAGAAAUCAAACCAGGUUUGAAUAACCAAAUCCAAAUAACAAGAUGGGUUAAUUCCAUAAAAGCUUUAAGUUUUCAAGAAAUUAUUGUUUUUACCCUUUUGCGUCAUUUAGGUUGUAAAGCCGAAAGUUUGUAUUUUUUUCACAUUUACCCUUUUUGUCAGUUAAAAAGGCUACAUGUCGGUCAUCAGUACAUUUGGCGCUCCAUGCAUGUAUGCAUGAGUAGUUAGUUCGGAUGACGUGACAGCCGAUGUGGGGCCACGUCAGCUUGGAGAAAAACAUGAAGGCGCAUAUGAAACAUACAAUUGAACUUGUUGUGACCUCACAAAGAGAGGGUCGUCCCCUUAUCCACCAAUAUAGAAAGAGUUUGAUGAACAAAUAAAGGAAAUAAAUGAAACUUUAAUUUAGUAAUUUCGAAAUUGGAAAGAAAUUCCAUUAAUGAAAUUGUUAUAUAUAUAUAUAUAUAUANNNNNNNNNNNNNNNNNNNNNNNNNNNNNNNNNNNNNNNNNNNNNNNNNNNNNNNNNNNNNNNNNNNNNNNNNNNNNNNNNNNNNNNNNNNNNNNNNNNNNNNNNNNNNNNNNNNNNNNNNNNNNNNNNNNNNNNNNNNNNNNNNNNNNNNNNNNNNNNNNNNNNNNNNNNNNNNNNNNNNNNNNNNNNNNNNNNNNNNNNNNNNNNNNNNNNNNNNNNNNNNNNNNNNNNNNNNNNNNNNNNNNNNNNNNNNAAAGCAGAAUUUAAAGCAAACAACGACAAAAUAAAGGGUUGUAGACGUUUACAAUGUACACACAUGCACCGGAUUAUAACAAAACUUACUUUUUUUAGUUUAAUUUUUUGUCAUGUUUUUUAUCGAAAAAAGCGGAAUAUACCAUUGUUUAUUAUUUUUCGGCCUCCUUCCACAGAGAUCUAUAUUGAUAUAUAAAAAAUUAAUUUUUUUUUCAAAAAACUCACUAAAUUUUCUUUAUUUUUUGAAAAGUUAAGGUCUAUCUUUUAUCAAAAAAAUUAAUAAAUAUAUCAAAAUUAAUAUUUUUUGGUACUCUUUAAAGAUAGAUUCAUAUGAAUGUUUUAAAAAAUCAAAAUUUCAGUUCAGAUUCACAUUGUGAAUCUGCUCAUAUUCACAGUGUGAAUAAUAGUAUCUCAGAUUCACAUUAUGGUUCUGAAAACUAAAUUAUAUACAGUUCAGAUUCACAAUAUGAAUAAGUACAUUUCUUGAUUUUACAAAACUAAUUUAUGUGUAACCAAAACGUUAAAAUAUUAUAUACUAAAUGGAAUUCGAUAGAUAUAUAAAUUUAACUUAAUUUAUGAAUGAUCAAAUAGUUGAAAUAGUAAGUCAUAUUCGCAUUGUGAAUGUUACAAUUGAAAUAUUUACAGUUUAGAUUCACAAAGUGAAUCUAAAUUGAUCGAGUUUUUUUAAUAGAAGACAAAAAAUGAGAUUUUUGGUAUAAUUAGUUUUUGAAAAAAAAUAAACUUAAAUAAUGAAAAAAAAAAGUUUGUUUUUUAUAUAUUAACAAGGAUCUUUGUGGAAAGUAGACGAAAAAUCGUGAACAACGGUAUAUUCAGUUUUUAUUUUAUUUUUUUGAUUAAAAAACAUGGCUUAAAAAAAUUUAAACUAAAAAAAUAGAUGAGUUUUUUGGUAAAGAGGAGGUUUAUGGUAUAAUAUGGUAUAUGUACGUCCAAUAUGCAAAUGUACAUCUGUUCCAUUAGCCGUUAAUCAUUAUGAUUUUGGAAGUUCACAGGCUAUGACCUUCUCGUUUCUAUUUUUAUGCCUUCAUUUUCUUAUCAUUAGUUUUAGUUAAUAUGUAUAAAAUGGCAGACUUAAAUUAACAAAAUCCAUCACAGGCUAGUUGUUAAGUUGUUUAGCGUUUCAUAUGGCCAGGAUUCGUAUUUCUAAAUUGUAUUUAUAGCUUUAAUAUUGUAUAAAGAGGUUUCAUAAUAUACAAAUAAGUUUGUAUAGAUAUACAAACAUACUUAUGCAAUUUAUUCGUUGAAAAAAAUGUAUGUAUACAUAUUCCUUAUCUAUUUAUAGAUUUAAAACAUAUUUAUGCAUAUUAAAAACGUAUUUAUAUGAAUUUAUAUAAUUUUAAAACGAAUUUAUAUAUUUAUAUAAUUUUAAAACAUAUUUAUAUGUAUUUAAAUAUGUUUAUAUAUUUUUAAAACAUGUUUAUAUGUAUUUAUAUAUUUUUAAUAUAUAUAUANUAUAUAUAUAUAUAUAAUGAAUAAUUACAUAUACACAUAUUUAUAUACCUGUACAAACUUAUUCAUAUCUAUUAUGAUACAUUUUUACCUACCUUUAAAUAAUUUGCAAUUAGAUUACGACAUCCCUGUUCUGAAUUGUGAAUUAUUUAAUUGGAUCAUAGCCUUGAUAUUUCGUUUGUGUGUUAUAUUAAGGAUCUCCUUAUCUAAUCAAAUCUUAUCCUUUUUCUUUUUUCAGGUGUCAACUUCAAACAAUGUUUCUGGCUACGCCAACAACAACUCCAACCACUUCUCGCUCUUGAGCAUUUCUUCGAAGGUCACCUUUGAUGGUUCUAAUUUUAAUGAUUGGAUCUAUAACAUCACAAUGGCCUUGCGCUUCGAGGAUAAGGAAUACUUUCUCGAAAAUGUGCUUAACGAGAUUAAUGAAACUAAAUCAACUCUCGAAGAAAUUUAUGAAUAUAGGAGACACUACAAUGAUGCUACCAACGUGUCAUGCAUCAUGGUGGCUACUAUGACUCCCGAACUGCAAAGGUUCUAUGAGGACUAUUGGCCUUAUGAGAUGUGCAAGUACUUAAUGGAGAAGUAUCAUCAACGAGUCUAUCAAGAAAGGUACGAAAUAGUCAAGUCACUCAUAACCAGCGAGAUGAAGGAUGGAGAGUCCGUUACGACCCACUUGCAACGCAUUUAACGUUAUGUGGAUCGUCUGUUGAAACUCAAUGUUAACUUUGAUGACUAAUUGACUAUUGACAUAGUCUUGCACUAAUUGCCUAGCUAUUAUGAUCAGUUUGUUAUGACUUAUCAUCUGAACAAGGAGGAAACUACAUUGAGUCAACUCCAAAGCUUCUUGAGAACUGAAAGACCCUAACUUUCGUAUUUAUGAAAGACCCAAACUUUCAUACUCGACAAUAUAGUUACUCCAAAACAUGCUACUUGCAUAUUCAUAAAAACAAUAUUUUACAUUGAUAAAGAGAUUACAAACUACUGGAUACAAACCGACUAUUUUAAAGUGUUAUAUAUUACAUAACUUCCCAGGAUUCUAUAGUUUUAUACAUAUGGGAGUGCAAAAUACGAUAGUUUCAAACUACUCAUAAGCUUCUAUCGAUACAAUAUGUAACGCCUGUGUUUCCGGGCUUGCCAUAUUUAGCAAUAUAAUAGUUUAGGUUAACCUUUGUAACCCGUUUUGAAAUAAUAAGAAUGUAUUAUUUGAGUAUUAUGUGUUUUGUGCUUAAUUGCUUAAUUACGUGGUCUGAUUAAUUAAGAACAAAAAUAAGCGUCAAAAUUUAAGUGUGAAAUAAACUUAAUAUCUUUGGUUAAUGUUGUAGUAGUCGAAACGAGGUUUCCGAAUAUAUAUAGAACGCCCAAAUCUGACUUCGUAUGAGGAAGUUAUGAUUUAUCGAAGUUCCGGCUUAGCGGUAUACAGCCUGUUAUACUCGAAUUGAGAUCGAGCGGUUGUUAGCCGAAGCAAUCUAAAUGAGAAUCGAAGAUCUCAUUGUUGGUAUCGAAGCGAUAAAAAGUUAGGCGAGAACGGACGUCAAACGAAGAAGUUAUGAAUUUAUAACGAAAGUUUCUGUCGCGGCCUAUUAAAAAUAAUUAAUAAAAAUAAAGUCAAAAUUAGCCGACGGAGUCUAAACGAAAGUCGUAGAGCGUGGUCUCACCUUCGCGUGGAUAUAAAGAACGUCGAAAACGGAGUUCGUAUGAAGAAGUUAUGAAUUUCCGAAGUUUAUUAAUCAUUUUAUAUUUUUAUUUAAUUCAAAAUCGGAGGCAUUAUCCGAAGCCGUGUCACCGGUGUAAUCCGGAGUACGCCCCGCGUACGAGGUUACGCUAUCGCGUAACUCCGAUAGUGUCGACACUUCGGAUGACGCAUGCAAUGACGAUUUCGGACGCGUACGCGCUGCGUACGCCUGUACGCCCCGCGUACUCCGAGGUUCCAGCCUCUAUAUAAAGGAUCCGAAGGCAGCCUCAUUUCUUGUUCAUUUUCUUCUCUUCUCUCUAGUCUUUUGCAUCGUUUUUCGUGCCGAAGCUACCCCGAAGCCCCGGUAUCAUACUCUAGCCCCGAGGCAAGUCCCGAGAUCCCGAAGAUCCCGAGAAGCGCGGUUCCCGAGUCGAAGCUCUGCCCGCGAGAAGUUCGAUUUUCGAGGAGAUCUUCCAGAUCUGCUGUGGAUUACUACUUCUAUAAGCCGUAGUGCUGUCGGAUCGUCUUCUGAUCAAGUGAGUGUGUAGUUAUUUCUUCUAAUACAAUAAUACGAAGUAUUUUAUAUAAAAAUACGUGCUAUGUGUAUAUAUUUGGUUGUGUUAUGUGUGAAUGAGUAUUCACUCUCUUCUAUCUUAUAGAUCUGCUUAUUUCUUUAUGAGAUAUGUGUUAUGUGUGUGUGUGCCUCAUCUGUUAUGUGAUAUAUGUGUUGAUUAAAGCAUGCUAUACAGGUUUUCUUUAAACUAUGUAUACAAAUGUAUAUUUUUAUCUACUAAUAUGUUGGGUAGAACAUGGGUAGAUAGUUGGUGUGUAAUAAACAGAUGAGAGGCCUCGAUGUUGUUGUUGUUGUUGAUCUAGUUAUUCAGCGGAGUAUGGAUAACGACCACAGACUCUUUCUAGACAGUCCAGUGGAACGCUAGCAGGUUCAUAACCUGUAGGUGUUGUGAACGAUGUGUUCACCGGUGUACUCUAUCCCCCUCAUGGUUGCCUUUAGGAUAUCUAUUGUUGAGGAAACCCCUUGUAGUGAUGUCCGUCCCGAUGAAAAUCCUAGAUUAGGUCCCUUGAGAUAGUUGUUUAGGGACGUAAAGUGAGGAUAACGGGAAUGGGUAAUCGGGAUAGUGAUUGGUUGGUGAAAUUAAAUAUAACUUAUUUAUUGUGGGUUGAAAACCCUAUAUGCUCACCAGGCUCCCAAGCCUGACCCACUCAGUUUUAUUUGUAUUACAGGAAGUGGCACAAGGGCAUAAGAUGAAUGGAUCAUCUUGUUGUUUUGUUUACAAGUCUGUAUAUGUAUAUAUUUGUUGAAUGACUUGUAAUGUUUAUCGUUUAUGCUUUAUGGUCUGUAUCGGAACAUGACAUCCCGAGUUUUGAUUAUAUAAUGAAAUGCAUCUCUUGAUGAAAUGCUUUGAUAAAUAUUAUUUUAUCAUGUUUUGUUUUUGGGAACAAAUUCCGCAACUCUUUCAAAUCAAAAGGAUUUACUCUGAAAAUUAUUUAAAAGCAUAAAUGAAAAUCGGUCUUUUCUGGCCGAGAUUUUGGGGAUGUCACAUAGUAAGCGUAGCUUAACUUACAGAGAGUUCCAGCAAAAACCAAGAAGUUGCACUGGAAAAACUCUGAAACCGAAAGCUCCUACUUGUCGGGCUCCUAGAUACUCCAGAACCUCGCUAAUUUUCUCUAAAACCCAAAAAUAUAGGGCUUGAGGUGAAAAGGUCUCCAGAGAGUUUUUGGAGUGAAGAAGGGGUGAGGGACAACUAAAAUUGCAAAAACUCUAUUUAUAGCAUGGAGUGCGCCGCGCCUAUCUACCACGCGUUUCGGGCCCUGUGGUAGGUGGGUUGGGUGGGCCGCCUGCUACCACGUGUUCGCUCCUGGGCCUCCCAUGUCGGGUAAAAUUGUAGAUCUUCUAAAAAUCGUAUCUCUCUCAUACGGUUUCCGUUUUCGGUGUUCUUUAUAUCCAAGCGUAGCUAUCGACGAGUACUACAACUUUCAUUUAUACUCCAUUGGCUAAUUCUAGCCCAACUUAAUUUUAACAUUCUGAGAAGAUUAUACUGUUAACGACCGUGUAAAAUUCAUAACUACGUCAUACAGACUCCGUUCUCGAUUGUCAUUAUAUCGACGGAAUCAUAUCGACAAGAUCUUCAACUCUUGUUUAGAUUGUAUUUCCUAACAAUCGACCCAUCUUAAUUCCGGUUUCUAUGUCGCACACAUUUAUGCUGAAUCUUCGAAAAAACAUAACUUCCUCAUACGAAGUCAUAUUUGGGCGUUCUCUAUAUGCACGCUCUUGGUUUUACGACUACUACGACUUUUGUUUAGAUUGUUUAGGCUAAUAAGUAACCUAUCUAAAAUUCACUUUUUACAACACGCAAAGUAAUGUCGGUUUAAUCGCGAAACUUCGAAGAAACAUAUUUUCUUCAUACAAAGUCGGAUUUAAGCGUUCUAUAUAUAUUUAUGGAAAUCGUAUCGAUGUCUUCUACGUUUUUAUGACGAUUAUUUUGGCCAAAAAUCAUAUAUUUCUAUUUCGAAUUUUAUAAACAAUGGUUUAUAUUGAAUCUUACUGAAAUGUGAAAACUGAAUGUUACAGCUAACAUGUCAAAAGCACAAAAUUAAAAAUAUAUAUUCUAAAAGAUACACACAUGAACAUAAAUACAUUAUCCAUAUAUAUACACAUAAAUACAUACGUAUAUAUAACAUAUAGGAAAAUGACUUAUUAAGGUAAUUAACUUUUUGGUAUGUUCACAUUUGGGUAACUAACUUUUUUUGUACACAUUUAGGUAACAACCUUGUUGGAAGUGUUCACAUAUGACCAUUAUGACAUGAUAUAGCAGGUUAAAUCCUAGAUCUGAACGCUUUCAACAAGUUCGUUACCUAGAUGUAUACAAAAAAAAUAGUUACCCAAAUAUGAACAAAACAAAAAAUAAAAGUAAAUUACACGAAUGGUCCCUGUGGUUUGGGGGAAUUUGUGUUUUUGUUCCCUAACUUAUUUUUUUAACUCGUAUGGUCCCUAAUGUUUAUUUUUGUUACACGUUUGGUCCCUGUCUUAUCUAAAAAGACUAUUUUGCCCUUAUUAAUUUAUUUUUUAAUUAAUUUUCUUAUUUAUGUAUUUAUUUUUUAUAUAUUUAAAAAAACUAAUAGACCCCACAUAUCUGUAUCUCCUCACCAUAAACCUCAAACCACAUUUGAGAAAUUUAAUUUGGAUGAUCCCUAUUGUUUAUUUUUGUUGCGCGUUUGGUUCAUGUCUUACCUAAAAAUACUAUUGUGCCCUUAUUAAUUUAUUUUUAAUUAAUUUUCUUAUUUAUGUAUUUAUUUUUUUAUAUAUUUAAAAAAAAAUUAAUAGACCCCACAUAUAUGUAUCUCCUCACCGUAAACCUGAAACCACAUUUGAGAAAUUUAAUUUGGGUCUUACCGGUCACCAUCCCAUCUCUCAUUCUCCCAAACUUCUAUUUCUUUUCCAUCUUUAGUAACAUCGACGUCUUCACCAUCCUUCUUUUUUUGGUACUUCAACUCUGGCGAACCAACACCAUAAUCUACUGUCUCUUCAUCUUUAGUGGGUUGUGGUGUUCAUUUGACGGAGUUAAAGGACCGAAAAAAGAAGGGAUGAUGAAGACGUGUGACAUCCCCAAAAUCACGGCCAGAAAAGACCGUUUUCAUUUAUGCUUUUUAAACAUUUUCAGAGUAAAUCCUUUUGAUUUUAAAAGAUAUGCGAAAUUUGUUCCCAAAAAAAACAUGAUAAGAUAGAUUUUUAUCAAAACAUUUCAUAAAGAAAUAUGAUUUCCUUUCAUAAUCAAAAGUCGGGAUGUCAUAAUCCGAUACAGACCAUAAAGCAUAAACAAUAACAUUACAAGUUUUUCAACAAAAAUAUACAUUUUUAUACAUAGUUUAAAAACCUGUAUAGCAUAUUUUAAUCAAUACAUAUUCCACAUAACAGAUGAGACACACACAAAUAACACGUAUUUCAUAGAGAAUAAAUCAGAUCUAUGAGAUAGAAGAAAGUGAAUAUACAUCCACACAUAUAACAUCAAAAUAUAUACACGUAGCACGUAUUUUAUAUAAAAUACUUCAUAAUAUUGCGUUGGAAGAAAAUGACUACACACUCACUUGAUCUGAAGAUGAUUGGGUAGAACUACGGCUUGCAGAAGUAGUGUUUCCCCGUAGAUCUGGAAAAUCUUCACAAGAAUCGGACUCCUCGCGAGCAGAGCUUCGGCUCGGGAAUAACGCUCUUCGGGAUCCUCGGGGCUUUGGAUCUUGCUUCGGGGCUCGAGAAUAUUACCGGGGCUUCGGGGUAUAAAUGGCAUGCUAAACGAGGCAAAAUCUAGAGAGAAAAGGAAGAAGUUGUAAAAGGGAAGAAGCUGCCUUCGCAUCCCUUUUUAUAGGGCUGAGCUUCGGGGUUACGCUGGGCGUAAGUUCGGAGUACGCGGGGCGUAAUGCCUCGGUUGCCGUCAUCGCUUGCGUCAUCGGCUCCUUUACGACAUCACAUACGAACUCAGAACACUCAAGUGGUACGUUGGGCGUACACCAGUACGCUGGGCGUACUUCGGAUGAGUCCGCUGACUCCUCUUCGGAUAAUACCAAGAUUUAGAAUUAAAUUUAAUUAUUAAAUAUUUAAUAAACUUCAAAAAUUCGUAUCUCCCUCAUACGAACUCCGUUCUCGACGUUCUUUAUAUCCACGCGUAGGUGAGACUACGCUCUACAACUUUUGUUUAGACUCCGUCGGCUAAUUUUGAAUUUUUUUUUUAUUAUUUAUUUUUAGUAGGCCGGGACAGAAAAACUUCGUUAUAAAAUCAUAACUUCUUCGUCCGACGUCCGUUCUCGCCUAACUUUUCAUCGUUGCGCUACUAACAACGAGAUCUUCGAUUCUCGUUUAGAUUGUUUCGGCUAAAAACCGCUCGAUCUCAAAUCGAGUAUUUGGGCUGCAUACUGCCUAGUCGAAACUUCAGAAAAUCAUAACUUCCUCAUACGAAGUCAGAUUUGGGCGCUCUAUAUAUAUUCGGAAACCUUGUUUCAACUACUACAAUAUUAUCCAAUGAUAUCAAGUUUAUUUUACACUUAAAUUUUGACGCUCAUUUUAUUCUUAAUUCAUCAUAUCACAUAAUUAAGCAAUUAAGCACGAAACACAUAAUACUCAAAUAAUACGUUCUUAUUAUUUCAAAUUUGGGUUACAAAGGUUAACCUAGACUAUUACAUUGCUAAAAAUGGCAAGCCCAGAAACACGGGCGUUACAAGACGUAACAAAAUUAAUAAGUACACAAUAGUCUUUUUAGGUAAGAUAGAGACCAAGCUCGUAACAAAAUUAAACAGUAGGGAUCAUCCGAGUUAAAAAAAAUUAAUUAAUUAAAAAAUAAACAGUAUGGAUCAUCUGAGAAGAUACAAAUAUGUGGGGUCUAUUAAUUUUUUUAAAUAUGUAAAAAAUAAAUACAUAAAUAAGAAAAUUAAUUAAAAAAUAAAUUAAUAAGGGCACAAUAGUCUUUUUAGGUAAUACAGGGACCAAACGCGCAACAAAAAUAAACAGUAGAGACCAUCAAAGUUAAAAAAAUAAGUUAGGGACCAAAAACACAAAUUUCCCCAACCCACAGGGACCAUUCGUGUAAUUUACUUUUACUUUUCGUUUUGUUCAUAUUUGAGUAACUAUUUUUUUUGUAUACAUCUACGUAAGGAACCUGUUGAAAGCAUUCACAUCUAGGAUUUAACCUGCUAUAGCAGGUCAUAAUGGUCAUAUGUGAACACUUCCAACAAGUUUGUUACCUAAAUAUGUAAAAAAAAUAGUUAUUCACAUGUGAACAUACCGAAAAGUUAAUUACCUUAAUAAGUCAUUUUCCCUGNNNNNNNNNNNNNUAUAUAUAUAUAUAUAUAUAUAUAUUAGUGAUGAUUGAUGAAAGAAAGGUUCGAGUGGUUGCCAGCUCAUGAAAGGAAAAUGCCCUACUGGUGUUGGGUACCCUUCAAAUGACAAAUACGCCCCAUUCCAAACAACUUUCUCUUUUCCUAUUUCUUUUUUUCGAAUCAAUUAUAUGUGGGGUCAUUUUUGUUGUUAAAGGCAAUUUAUGAUAUUAUUCAUUUAUUAAAAGAUUCUUCUAAAAUGUUUUUUACACGAAAAGAGAAACAAAUAAUCUCAUCACCGAAAUAGUUGAUUCUCAUUUAUUAUUUAUUACAUGAAUCGAAAAAUGUAAACAAAAUAAUAUAUACAAUUGUGCACAACAAUUUACUUAAGAAAAUUGACAUUUCAUAUAGUUAAGCAUGCUAUCCACAUUGAUAAUUGAUAAAUAUAAACAUACUAUUUGCAUUGGUGUUUUAUUAACAUAAAGUUGCCCUUGUUCAUUACAAUAACCAUAAGUACUAGACCGUUCCUCUAGCUUGCAUGUUCAAAAACAAAGGAUUCAAAAAAAAUUAUCACACUACACAAUAUCUUUCGUCAUUUAUUCCGAAAAAACACAAUCAUUCAUUACCCAAACACAAAAUAAACGUCACAUACAAACAUCAUCAUAUACCACUUGGGCCCUUAUCUUUUACUAAAAUCAACCCCACCAUAACUUGUAUGAACUUCUUUUUCUUCCAUAUCACUCGAUUUGUCCAUUCAUUUUUUAUUUUAAGAAGUGUCUACCUUACAAGAUUUCGCAUUGUGUCAUUCUACUUCACAAAUGACACAAGUUACUCUAUAAAAAUUCAUCUUCUUCAUGUUAACCUUGGGAUUACAUUCAUUAGCUUCUAAAAUCUCCUCAUUCGUGUCCACAUCAAAUGCAAAGUUUCUAUCAUCAACAACAUAUUGAUGAUAAUAUUCUUUAUCAAAAUUAACAUCAUAUAUUUUUUUUUCUAAAUCUUAUUUUGAAAACAUUAAAAGGACAUAAUAAAAGUAGUCUUAAAAAUCUUGCCUUAUCAUUCCCAUAGUGGAUUCUAAAUUUCUAAUUGGAAAAAAAAUAUGUUUUCUUGUUAAGCUAGUGAGUGUCGGUAACAUGUUAAGGCAUGUUACCACACCAAAAAAAAAUGUCACCUCAUAUGCAAUGUCAUCACACGGUGUUAUAACGUCAAGUGAGGAAAUAAGCAACAUGUUAUAACACCCAUUAAUUUUCAUGUCAUUAUUUUUUUUUCCAAUGUAUUUUUUAAUAUUUAUAAAAACAAAAUUAAUUUAAUAAAACAUGUUAUUUAGAUAAAACCUAAUUUUUUAAUUAAACAUAACAUUUAAAAUUCAAAAAAAAAAAAAACUUUUCGUGCGUCUUGAAUAUCAACAACUCUAUGUAAAUAUUUCGUUGUCUCCUGUUGAAAUUGCAGAUAUCUGGUUCCGUAGCCGAAUACUCUAUAAUAUUUUUUCAUUUAUCUUCAAUCACCAUGUUAUGCAUUAUGAUAUAUGCAUACAUAAUAUCUCAUAGAGUUUCUAACUGAUAUGGUCGUGCCGCAUGUUAAACUAUGUAUCAUUUUGACUUUAGAACUCCAAAAGCACGUUCCACAUCCUUACAUGCACAUUCUUCUUUUCUCUCGAAAAUUUGUCUCUUGAUCCUAUUGAGUUUCAAAACGCCUUCAGGAAAGUGGAAUAUGCUAGAUAUAUUCCAUCCGUAAGGUAAAACCCCAACUUAUAUUUGUUUUCAUUCACUAUGAAAGGAGCAUUUGAUGCCUUUCCUAAUAAGAGAUCGUCGAAUAUUGGUGACUGAUCAAAAAACGUUGACGUCGUUGUUGGAACCCAUAACCCCGAAAAAAGAAUGUCAAAUCAAUAAAUCUUGGGAUGCAACAACCUAUAAUAUCGAUGAAGGCGUUUCAUGAUGACCACUUUCAUAUUGGUAUUUCCAUGCCACGGGACAAUUUCUUCAGUUCCAGUGUAUGCAAUCAAUGCUUCCAAGCAUACCCAGAAAACCAUGUAUGUUUUCAUGUGCCACAUAUAGUUGUUGCAUAUCAUUCAACGAAGGUUUGCGCAAAUAAACAUCACCGAAGGUUUCGAUAACAACUCUCUCCAAUGUAUACAAACUUUCUUUUGCAGUUCUCUCAGACAUUCUCAUAUAAUCGCCAAUAGAAUCAGAUGUGUCCCUCAGAACCAUAAGCUUAAUUGUCGCAACACAUUUCUACAGUCAUGUGAAUCCUAGCUUACCUCUAGCAUCAUAUCUCAUUUGGAAAAAUUCAUAACUAAACGCAUAUUUAAUAGGUAAAAAAUGUAUUUAAUUUAUGUAAAAGCUACAUUUUAUAAAUUACAAAAUUUGAAAGAAACAAUAUAUGCUUUUCAAGGCUUUGGCUAUCCAUACAAACACAUUUUUUUUCCGCAAAUGAACUCUUCUUUUGAAAUCACAUAACUGGUAGACACAGUUAUCUGCAAAAUAAUCACGAACUAGACGUCAGUGUCCUCCGUGAUUUAUGUUUAACAUCGCACGUCUAGUUAAUAUAUGAGUCAGUGUCCUCCGUGAUUUAUGUUUAACAUCGCACGUCUAGUUAAUAUAUGACUUGGAUGUGGUUGAAAUAGCACAUUCAUGCAGUACUCGUACAUCAUAGAGAUGAACAUAUCAUCCUCAACAACAUCAUCGUUAGACGGGCCGAACAUAUUCAUUUUUUUAAAUUGUGAAGUAUUGAAAUUUUAUAAAAUGUAGAGAGAAAAGAAAGAGGUGAAUGAAUUUGGUAUAUCAUGUGUGUAAUAUAUAUAUANNNNNNNNNNNNNNNNNNNNNNNNNNNNNNNNNNNNNNNNNNNNNNNNNNNNNNNNNNNNNNNNNNNNNNNNNNNNNNNNNNNNNNNNNNNNNNNNNNNNNNNNNNNNNNNNNNNNNNNNNNNNNNNNNNNNNNNNNNNNNNNNNNNNNNNNNNNNNNNNNNNNNNNNNNNNNNNNNNNNNNNNNNNNNNNNNNNNNNNNNNNNNGCGUGUUAACGGCGUUGAGGUGUAGACACAUCGGCAAUAAAAAGGCCUUAACAUGCCCACACCGAAUGAUCUUAAAGACAUGAAAACAACAAAAGGACAUUCAUUAUGCAAACAAAUAUCAAAAUAUGAAUCAUUGAUAUGGCUUCACAAAAUGAAUAAUUAAGUAAAAGACAUGUAAUAAAGGUUUUCAUGGUCAACAAGGUCAUACUUCGUGUUGGAAUAUGCAAUGUUUGACUGAUGAUGUUGUAUUUUGACCACAAAUGAUAUUAGGUUUUUACGAAUUUGUCUUUACCACUAUAAAUAGAUUUGAGCUUAUUUUAUUUCAGUUUGCUCUCUUGUAAUUUUCUAAGCUCCAGAUUUUGGAGAGAUAUUCUAAUGAGAUAAAGUUCUUGAGAGUUCAUAUUGUGCUUAAAGAGAUUAUGAUUUAGUAUACUCUUUUAUUUAGUGAUUUGUUGAUAUUUAAUUGAUUCACAUCCAUUGUGUGAGCGAAAUUCAUAUAGUUCUUUAUUCCACAUUCACUAUUUAAGAUAUAGUAUCUAGAGUUCGAUUUAAUCAUCCACGUUGGAAGCACCAUUGUUUGUAAAAUUUUGAUUCCCAUACAAGGUUAGGGUUAGAGAAAGAGGCACAUAUGUUGAACAAAAUUAAUAACCGAACAGAAUAAGAUUUAUAUGCAAAAGAUUAUAAUAGACAAAUCGAAAGCAAUGAUACAAGAGGUAAUGAUAGUUGAAAGUAACAAUAACCGAAGAAAGAAGAAGUACAACACGACAAAGACUAAAAUACCUCGUGUGCAAGACACAACUUAACAAGUGUAGUUUAACACAUUUUGAAAAACGACCCUAAGUUGAAAGGCAAUGGCACAAUAAACACCAAAAUAGCAAAAUUAGAAGUUUAGGUACCAAGAUUGCAAAAAAAUGAGAAAAUCAAGGGCCAUUCUUAGACCUUACUCAUACAUCGGUGUUGAAAAGGUAAUUUUUUCGUGCACUUUUAUAUUUGAGGGGGUAGGAUGUAAUUUUAAGAUAGAAGAAACAUUAAAAACACGUUAAAAUGCUUGCAAACUUUCAAUGUUCUACAUCCAAACACAUAGUUCCAACCGUCCAAACCUCUACAAACUGAACACGUGGCAUCCAUGAUAUGUCAAGAUUCAUAAUGUUCUUUAUGUGAAAUGCAUCAAUCAGCACACAGCAGAAGAAAAAGACCCACCGUCCACUCGACCGCCCCUCAAAACAUAUGGCCGUGGUUUAGCGCAGUCACAAGAUCCACCUCACCGUCUCUCGUAGAAACUCACAAAUAUGGCGACAACCUCUUCUAAAUCUUUUAGAAUGGCGAAAAACAUUAUAAAUUAUAAAUAAAAAAUAAUCAGCGGGAGACUGACCAACAUCCAGAUAAAAAAACGACAGUUACAAUGAUAUUAAAUAAUAUCAUAUUCUUGGAUUUUAAAUGAACCUCAAUCCCCAACACACAUUGUUAAUUAAUGGAUUUGUGUAUGUUUAUAUUUGUAUUCCGUCCAUUUAUAUGUUCGACUUUGUAUAUGUAUCUCGGCCCUCUCUGUAUUGUGUAUUAUCUACAGUAGACAGUAGUCUAUAUGGUGGUUAAUGAGAGAAUUCAAUUCACUGGAACUAUUUCAAAUAACAUUGUAUCAAUUCUUAUUUCUGUCAUGUUCAUGUCAUAAUUACUCGAGCCACAAUAGUUUUUUGCGACAAGGUUAGUGUUGUGUAUAUUGCCUCUAAUCCGGCUUAACGUCACCGAACCAAUCACAUUGAGAUUGACAUUGCUAGUGUUGUGUACCUUGUCUCCAACCCGGUUCAAUAUCAUCAAGCCAAACACAUUAAGAUCGACUAGGGGUCAGCAAAAACUUAACCGAAAACCCAACAUAAACCAAUGGAGCAGGUUGGAAUUUUAUAAAAACCAAUAUUAUCGAUUCGGUUCGGUUUCGUAUUAUAAACCCACCUAGCAAAACCGAACCGACCCACAGGGUUAAAAACCAACCAAAAGUUGACCCACAAAACCGACCUAGUGUAUAUAUUAUUUAAUAUUUAUUAUGUUUUAAAUAUUAAAUAUAUUUACUAUUAGUAUUUUAUGUACACUUAGGUGAUUUUUAGUUAAUAGUUAUUUUAGAAUUUAAAUUGGAUUCAAUACCAUUUAUAUUUUAUAAUCGCAAAUUUCAAGGAGUUUGAACACGAAACUGCCCCCCACCCACCCACAAAAUCAUGUGUUCAAACCGGAAACCAAAAAGCAGACCCACACACAAACCCACCACCACAUGUUUUGAAGCCGAAUAAAACCGAUUUUUACAGUUUGGGUUCGAUUUAGCCUAACACCGAACCAUGCUCAUCCCUAAGAUCGAUAUUCAUUUUUAUUCAAGUCAAGGUGGGUCAGCUUUAGGUUUUACAUGUCCUGUCUUCACAUCAAUAUAUUCUCCAAAGGACCCUUUUUAUCAUGUUUUCUUGAUUUUUGCUCCAAUUUAAAUGUCCGAUGUCCCUACACCCGUUCAAAGUGCAAAGGAUGUUAACAUAAAUGCAUAUUUUUAUUUUUUUAGUCGGUCCUGGUAUGUAUCUCGCCCUUGUCUAUAUUGUGUGUGGUUAGUAGUGGGAAGUAUUUGGUUUGGUACAAAAAAACAAAAAACCAAACCAAAUCGAAAUUAAUUUUGGACCAAACCAAAAUUUAAUUUGGAUUUUAGUUUGGUUUCAGACCAAACCAACCCGAAUUACUGAAUUUAGUUUAGUUAUUUGUUAAAUAAUUUAUACUUCAAUACUUUAACGAAAACGAAAUUGAACUAAUGAAUACCCGUUACAUUAUAAUGAGUCGAAAUAUCAAUUUGGUCAUUUUUCUCUUAAAAUGUAAUUAAUAUUUUGAUUUUGUAUACUUUAUUGUUCAUGGAUUAUAUAUUUUAAUUUUUUAUACUAAACUACUAUGGAAACUGAAACGUAAAUUUUAUGUUCAAAAUAUUGGAACUUAUAGGUUUUAUUUUUAAUCUUAAAAUUUCGUUUUCUUGGUUUUCAUAUCGAAUCAAACAAAAUUGUAAUUCGGUUUUUGGUUUGGUCCGACUAGUCUUAAGUUUGGAUUGUUUGGACCAAAAAAAUUCAAACAAAAGAAACCAACUCGGCCGAGUACUCAACGAGUAACUUGACUCGAACCUCUUCCGAGGCAACUUUCACUUACUUGGCCAAAAAUUUGGAUUUCAUACUAACUCAAUCGAACUCAAACCAACUGGGUCCAACUCGAAUGAGUUUAACCAACUCGGUUCGACUCAGAUGAGUUUAACAUGAGUACUUUGGGGAUGGACACUUCCUAUUUAUAAGUGGAGAUCUCGUCCUCCUUUUCUUGUUACCGUCGAUGUGGGAUAUCUUUAUUUAAUCCCCCAGUAAAGAUGUAACGUCCCAAAAUUACCAACAAAAAUUUCAUUUUUAAACCAUCAAAAUCAUAUAACCAUUUCAAAACAAAUUAGAGUAAAAUGUAUUUUUUUUUUCAAACAUCAGAGUAAUACAAUAACUAUAAAUGUGGAAAAGCCAUCAGAGGAUGUUGUGCAUUCAAGUCGGGCUUUCAUUUGGAACUGGAAGUACCUGAAAAUAUUAAUCCAUAAAACUGUAAGCAGAAAGCUUAGUGACUUCUCCAAAAUAUCACAUACCAUACAUAUUGGGCCCCACCCUCACAUCAGCCCUCACCCAUCAUACCAACAGGCCCAACCCAACAUACAAACAGGCCCAACCCAACAUACAAAUGGGGUCCGCCCAACAUACCAAUGAAGAGUCACAAAGACAACUAGCAUCCUACAUGGUAUAGUGAGAACACUCACCUUACCAACACAGUAUACAGCUAACAACUCUCACAGCCAAUGAAUGGGUGCUAAACACCUCCUAAUAAACCACACAAGGUAAACUCUAACUCUACCUUCUAAACAUAAAAUUUAACCAAAAGUCAACGGUCAAAGUCAAAGUCAAUAAUAAUCAUCAGCACGCCUCCAUGUCGUGGCCUCCCUGUGGCCACGUCAUGAUCACAAAACGCCAAAACAGUCGGGCUAAUUCCCAUCACCACGUCGUGGAAGCCAGAAGGCCACGUCGUGGGAACUGGGUCUAAACAACAUAACAGAUUAAGUUGUUUUCCUUCAUCCCUAAGGGCUCCAAAGCUUAGACCUUAUACCUUCCAAGGUCUUGAUGGAUAAAGUUUCCGACUUUAUCCAUUAAAACAUCUCAUAAGACAAAACCUCUAAACCUAUGUUCUUGAUGACCUCAUGGAGCAUGAACUUAUCCAUUAAGAUGUUAAUCACCAAAUUCAUCCAUACAUAUUUUCUAAAAGGCUUUCCAACACCCCAUGGAUCAUAAAAAGUGGUGCUUUAUGGACAUGCAUGUCUAAUGCAUGUCACUUUCAUUUUUGGGCAAAUAUAUGGGAGAAGGGAACUCAAACUUAUACAUGAGACCAAAAACUCCAAGACCCUUCAGAUAUACAACAUAUGAACUCAAAGGGACCUCAUGGAUCCAUAAAGUUGCCAACUUUAUGGGAUCCAUUCCUCUAAACUUCCACAACAUGAAGAAAAGGGACAAAGAACCAAGAUCUAGAAACAUGCAACCAAAAAGCUUGAAUCUUGGACACUUACAAAGGUCCAGAAUAUGCAUAAGAGUAUGAUGAUGAUGUUUACUUGUUGGAUCAACACACUAGAACACCUUCUUCUUCUUCUUCUUCUUCUUCAAGCCGCCAAAAGUACAAAAAUGAACUAAAAAUCACCAAGAUGGAUUAGGGUUAGGGCUUCUGAGGUUUGAGAGUGAUAGAGGCUGAAAAUGAACCCUAAAUCCGAGAUUAGGGGUUUAAAUACGAAGAAAACCCCUAAAAGAUCAUGGGCUUGGAUUGCAGAACCUUUCACAUCAUGAACAUACUCGUGUCACGUUGGGGCAUUCUUCCAAUGCACGUUCAUAUAUCGGUUCGUCACAUCAUGACCUUCUUAUGGUCACGUCGUGACACAUAAUUUUUUCCAAAAACUAUGCCUUUGAAAACUCCACAACGCUAUAUUGAACGUCGAGUGUUACAAAAGAAACUCUACAACGCUAUAUUGAACAGAGCCCUUUCGUGGAAGUAUUCUUCCUUGUUUCGAUCGACGUGGACCUCAAAGUCUUUCAUUGGUUCUCGUAAGUCAACCUCGCCUUCACUCUCUCAUCCCCUUUCUUUCUUUCUUGAUGACUUGUUUGGAUUUCACUGAUCAAUUUUAGAAUUCAUCAAAUUCAAAUGUAAACAAGAUGAUUGAAUAAUGUUUGAUUUGGAUUUUAAAAGCUAUCGAUUUCAAAAUCUAUAAUGUUUUAUUUGGGUUUCAAAAUUUGAUUGGUUAGUAGUCGACUAUAAAAGUGAUUGAUUUCAAAGGUGAAGAACGUUCGCUCAAUCCUAGUUUGAAAAGACGAUGAGGUACAGGUUGUUUGUGGUACCUACAAAGGCCGUGAAGGUAUGGUUGUUUAGGUCUACCAUCUCUGGCGACAUGAGAGACGAUUUUCCAAAAAGGAAUCAACUCAAAUGAUAAAAAUGAUCAUGGUCUAUGUUCUACAUUCAAGGUAAUUCGAAUUGUGUUCUUUCAAUUUCUAUAGUUUCUGAAUUGCUAUUUUAUUCUGGUAUUUGAUUGCAAAUGAGUAUUGAAUCAAAUUUCAUGGAAUUCAAUUCCAAUCCUUCUUCAUUUGUGUAAAGGACUGAAAUACCCUUUGUAAACCCUUCUUCACAACUUAGCUAACUCACGAUUUUAGCCUGUUAUAUCAAUUAAUGUCAUUGCUUGGUGAUUUUCUGAUUGUAGUGUAAGACUCUAAAAUUUCAAACAAAAUUUUCAUUAUUAAACCACAUAAAACUCAAUAUCACAUUUCUCAAAAACCACAAAUGUAUCAGCUGUCAACACACAAAUCAACAAAAUGACUGAUAAUAUCCUAGAAUCCUCAAACAUAUACAAUCAAGUCGGCGCCUUCCUACGAUCCUAAGAAGUACUUGAAACACAUAUCACACAACUGGUAAGCAUGAAGCUUAGUGAGUUCCCCAAAAUACCACAUACACAUACAAUAAGCCUCUCAUGGCUAUAGCUUAGCGUGGACCCUCUGGUCAUGCGUCUCGGUGAGGACCCUCCGGUCUCAUGGCUCGGUGUGGACCCUCCCGUCAUGUGUCUUAGUGAAGACCCUCCGGUCUCACAGCUCGGGUUGGACCCUCCGGUCAUGUGUCUCAGUGAAAACCCUCCGGUCCUAACUCAGUAAGGCAUAGAAUAAUAUAGCAUAUAUCACAAAGACAAAAUGCAUAAUAUCACAUAACUCAGUAUAAGCACAUAGGAUCCUCCAGCCAAUAAUUCAAAUAAGACCCUCCGGUUACACAGUAAUACCACUCAGGUAAGUAUAGUGAGAAGACUCACCUCGUAAGUAAGCAAGUAGAUCUAGUACCCCUCGAACAGUCUUGACUUCGUCUACAUAAUAUAAUCAUCUCUAAUUAGCAACUUUUAAUAACCACUCCGAGAUGUUAAACUAACUCCUCCACUAGAUCUCAAAAAGGGUGAGAAGACCAUUUUACCCCUACAUGGUCUCCAAAGUCCACCAUUGACCAAACCCUAAAAGUCAACGAAAGUCAACACUCGAGUCAACAAUCCCCGUUGACCCAAAUCGUUGAGUGCACCUUUGAAGCUCGUUGAGUUCCUCAUGUUCUCAGAAGAAUCGAGAAAAUUCCAACUCAACUCAUCGAGUUUUCUCAUCAACUCGCCGAGUUGUAGCGCGUCCAGACUAUCGGGGAAAACCCUAAUUGACUCGUCGAGUCAGAUCAUACACUCGUCGAGUCCCUCUAGUCCAAUUCUCAUUCAGAAGAUUCUAAGCAAAAAUAAAGCCCCAAACUCUAGAUCUUGCCUCCUAAGGCUAAAAUACCAUGUAAAGUUGCAAGCUUUACGUCCAUGCAUGGCACCUACGGCUCAAAAUGCCAAAACAAAGAUCUAUAGAAGGUCUAAUGUUUGGAACUUGGCCAAAAGCUUAAUAAAGCUUGGAUCAUUAUACUCAAGGGACCUCAUACAGUCCAGAUCUGAAGUUUCAACUUCAUGUCAUGCUCAAAUGACUCAAAGACUCAAAAAGGAAGAUCGAAAGGACUACAAACUUCCUAAGGAAGAGAUCUAACCAAAAAAUGGUCAAGGUGAUAGCUUUUUCCCUCCAAUAAGCAGCUUGUACAGAAAGAACACUGGAUCUAAAGCCUUCUUCUCGUUCCAAGCGUUUUGCUCUUCUAUUACCCUUCCAAGAAUGCACUAAAUCACACACUUUUAGCCUCUCUCUCUCUCUCUCUCUCUCUCUCUCUUUCACAGAUGGUACAAGCUCGUUUAGGGUUUCUCUUGAGGUGUCAAAAUGAUUAGGGAGGCAGAAAUGAAGGCUUAAGGUCCUUUAAAUUGGACACAAACCCUGAAAAUUAGAGUUUUUAAACUCAGCUCCUACUCGUCGAGUUGGGGUCCACCAACUCGUCGAGUAGACUCUAACAAUCAUGCGGCCAUUAACUCCUCUACUCAGCGAGUUGGGGCCUCCAACUCAUCGAUUUGCUCUAACAAUAUAAAUGAAAAAUAACUAAAUAUUAUACCUGAGAGUCGGGAUGUUACAAUUCUCCCCACUAGAAUCAGACUUUGCCCUCGAAGUCAUUCCCCAGAAAUAACUCUGGGUACUGCUCACGCAUCUCGGUCUCAGGCUCCCAAGUCCACUCGGAUCCCUUCCGAUGCUGCCAAUGAACCUAAACUAAGGGCACCUCUUUAUUCCUCAAGACCUUCACCUUCUUAUCCAAGAUAGCUAUCGGCUCCUCUAAAGGGACCACUAUCGUCUCAUCGACUACACACUUCCUCAGCUGGGAAACAUGGAAGGUGUUAUGAAUAUGACUCAACUCUGCAGGCAGAUCUAACAUAUAAGCUACCUUACCCACUCAAGCGAUCACUCUUAAAGGUCCAAUGUAUCCAGGGCCCAGCUUGCCCCGCUUCCUGAAUCGGAUCACCCAUUUCCAUGGGGAUACCUUCAGGAGAACAUAAACUCCGACUUGGAACUCCAACUUUGAACUUCAUCGGUCUGCGAAACUCUUCUGACAACUCUGGGCCGUUAGUAAUCUCUGUCUGACCUGUUGGAUCUACUCUGUCGUCUUGAUCACUAUAUCAGUGCUCCCCAUCACUCUCUGCCCUAUCUCUCCCGAACAAAUGGGAGUUCGACACCUCCUCCCAUAUAAAAGCUCAAAGGGAGUCAUACCGAUGUUGGAGUGAUGAUUGUUGUUAUAUGAAAAAUCAGCCAAGGGAAAGUAAGUGUCCCAAAUCCCACCGAAGUCCAUAACACAUGCGUGUAGCAUGUCCUCAAGUGUCUGAAUCAUCCGCUCGCUCUGCCUAUCUGUUUGUGGGUGAUAUGCGGUACUAAAGUGCAACCGGGUACCCAACUCCUCAUGAAAUUUCUUCCAAAACCUGGAUGUAAAACGCACAUCUCGAUUUGACACCAUCGAUGUUGGUACCCCAUGCCGUGCCACCACCUCUCGAACGUAGAUCUCAACCAAUUUCUCCGCAGAAGAGCUCUCACUGAUAGCCAGAAAGUGAGCACUCUUUCUCAACCGAUCUACAAUCACACAUAUCGCAUCAACACCCCGCGCGUUCCUCGGUAAUUUGGUGAUAAAAUCCAUGUAAAUAUGUCCCUACUUCCAUAAGGGAAUCUCUAGAGACUGCAACGGGACAUGAGGACGUUGGUGCUCCGCCAUCACCUAACGAUAGGUCAAGCACCUCUCGACUACCCAUGCCACAUAUAUCUUCAUACAGGGCCACCAAUAAUCCCUUUUUAAGUCCAAAUACAUCUUGGUGGCCCCCGGAUGGAUCGAGAAUCUCGACCUAGGGGCAUCCUCCAUCAAAAUAUGUCGAGCUCCACCCAUAUAUGGCGCCCAUAUUCGCCCACGGAAGGUCAUACACCCCCGACUAUCCAUCCCAAACUCAUAAAUUUGCCCGAUCACCUGCUCUCUCUUACGGUUAUCUGGUCUCACAGCCACAACCUAGGGCUCUCGGAUGGAAUCUAAGAUUGGGGUCAUCAUCAUCAUCAUCAUGCACACGUCUCAGAUCAGGGCACGCACUGCUCUAAGACUCAGGGCAUCGGCUACCACAUUAUCCUUACCAGGGUGAUACAAAAUCUCAUAUUCAUAGUCUUUCACUACAUCCAACCACCUCCUCUGUUUCAUAUUCAGGUUGGGCUGAUCCAUAAGGUACUUCAGGCUCUUAUGGUCCGUAUAUAUGGUACACCAGACACCAUAAAGAUAGUGGCACCAGAUGUUGAGGGCGAACACCACCGCCCCCAACUCCAAAUCGUGGGUAUGAUACCUCGUCUCGUGAGGCUUCAACUGCAUCGAUGCAUAUGCUAUCACGUGUCCCAUCUGCAUCAACACGGAAGCCAUCCCUGAUAUAGAUGCAUCACAGUAGAUUAUGAAGUCCUCCACUCCCUCAGGAAGGGCUAACACUGGAGCUUCACACAAUCUCUGGCGAAGAGUCUCGAAUGAGGCCUGCUGCUCGGGCCCCCAAGUAAAAGUAACACCCUUCCCGGUCAAUCGGGUGAGAGAAACGACAAUCUUGGAGAAAUCUCUGAUAAACCUACGGUAGUAGCCUGCCAGGCCCAAAAAACUCCUAAUCUCGGAUGGGGAUCUCGGCACCUCUCAUCGCAUAAUUGCCUCAAUCUUGGCCGAGUCGAGCAAAAUCCCACUCUGCUUAACGAGGUGUCCCAAGAACCAGACCUCUCGUAACCAGAAAUCACACUUGGAGAAUUUGGCAUAAAGCCUCUCCAUCCUCAAUACUCUAAGAAUCUCCUACUGGUGCUACUCAUGCUGCUCCCUAGACCUCGAGUACACCAAAAUGUCGUUGAUGAACAUGAUCACUGACCUAUCCAACAUGGGCCGGCACACCCGGUUCAUGAGGUCCAUGAACGUUGAAGGUGCAUUGGUGAGUCCAAAAGGCAUCACCAAAAACUCGUACUGCUCAUAACGAGUUCAGAAAGCUGUCUUCUGAAUAUCCUCCUCACAGAUUCUCAUCUGAUGAUACCCAUAUCUCAAAUUAAUCUUAGAAAACCAAGACACCCUAUGCAACUGAUCGAAUAAAUCGUCGAUCAUCGGUAGUGGAUAACGGUUCUUGACCGUCAGCUCGUUCAAAUCCUGGUAGUCGAUACACAUCCGGUGUGAACCAUCCUUUUUCUUGAAUAAAAGGAUCAACGCUCCCCACGGUGAGCUACUCGGUCUAAUAAAACCCGUCCCCAGCAGCCCCUGGAGCUGCGAGGAUAGCUCCUACAUUUCGGGCGGUGCAAGGCGAUAAGGUGCCUUGGAAAUAGGCACCGCACCCGGAAUCAAAUUGAUCAGGAACUCCACCUGCCUCUGAGGAGGCACACCCGACAACUCGUCAGGGAAAACAUCCGGGAACUCACACACUACCGGAACAUCAAAGAUAGAACUCGGCCUCUCAAUGGCAACUCUCGUAUCCAUCACAUAUUUUAAAAAUCCCAUGUAUCCCUGCUGUAAACUCUGCCUUGCCCUGGCGGCAGAGCAGAAUGGUGAUCCAAAUCUGGUCCCCACUCCAUACACAGUAAGUACUCCCCCACUAGGGUCUCGUAUGGUCACCAUCUGAUGCUCAUAGUCAAUCACAGCACCAAACCGGCUCAACCAAUUCAUGCCCACUAUGACACAAACAUCACCCAUCGCUAUCGGCACCAGAUUUAUCGGGAACUCAACACUGAAAAUCUUUAAUACACAUCCCUGGAUACAUCAAUGGCAAAAACCGCAUGCUCGUCGGCUAUAGAAACCCUCAGUGGUCGACUCAACGCCUCGCGUCUAACACUAAUGUGACGACUAAAGGAUAAAGACACGAAAGAUCGACUCUUAUCCGAUUCAAAUAACACCAAAGCAAGCACAUAACUCACAAGAAAAGUACCUAUAUACAACACAAUAUAAGCAUCAAAAAUCUCAAAAUAACAUAAAUAAGGAGAUACGUACCAACAACAACACCAGGCGUUGUGCGGACCUCCUCCGUAGUCAGCUGGAAUGCUCUCCCACGAGCUCUCGGAGGCUCGACCUUCCCCGGACGGCCAUCAGUAACACGUAAAGCAGCAUGAACAGAAGCCUAGGUUGAUCACUAAGUGAGUUGAGGACACUCGGCCUAUCGGUGGCCAGUCUGGUUGCAGUGAAAGCAAACCGAAAAUCCCUUGGGGCAGUCCCUCGCCAUAUGCCCCUCCUUGCCACAUUUAUAGCAAAUCCCCGCUCGAAAAGACCCCUCAUGAAUAGGGCACAAACCCUGAAAGUUAGGGUUUUCACACUCAACUCGUACUUAUCGAGUUGAGGUCUACCAACUUGUCGAGUAGACUCUAAAAAUCAUGUGGCCAUUAACUCCUCUACUCGGCGAGUUGGGGCCUCCAACUCGUCGAUUUGCUCUGACAAUAUGAAUUCAAAUUAAUUAAAUACUAUACCUGAGAUUCGGGAUGUUACAUGUAGUGAAUUCAAAAGUGUCACCAAAAUAAUCUUCUUUGAUUUAUCAUCAAGCUUCGUGUGUUAUAAAGAAAUUAAAAUUCCAAACUUUUGCAAAGGGAGCCUAUACAUUGUGUAGUUUCUAUAAACCACGAACACUUGGCUAAUUAGUUUAUAUAAGUCUUGAAUGUUUUCUAAAUAACCUGGUAUAUGAUCAUAUAUGUGAUGGGUUUUGAGCAUUCUAACACUCUUAUGGUGUACAUGCAACCCUAGAAACCUUGGAUCUAUGUUUGACUAAGAUACAUGCAAAUAAUUAUUUUUCCAAGGUUCUUAUCCUAUCUAGCAUGACAUAGGGAACUUGAAUCAAAUAAAGCUAGUAGUUAUACUUACCUUGUAGUUGUAGUUGAUUGCUUGGAGUUUUAGAGCCUAGCACCAAUAGUGUGGAUGCCUCAAAUGGAAAUCACAAAUCACCACAAACUUUGGAACUUUGGGAGAAUAGUAAUCACCUUCUUGAAAUCGGCCAUCUUAGUAUCCUCACUACAACUAGUGUGAUUUCAAGAACCAAAGCCUUCUUUAUAUAGUGUGGUGGAUUAGGGUUACAUCCAUGUAAACCCUAAUACCCAUGUCUCUUCAUUUCCAUGAGAUCCAUGGGUUAAAGCUCCAUGGAGUAUCCAUGGACUUCUCCAUCCAAGCCUAGCCCAUUCCAAAUAAGCAUAAGCCCACACUAUAUAAAUAUAGAAGCCCAUAUUUAAUUAGUAAUAUCUUUGAUCCUAAAUUAAUCCUAGAUUAAUUAUAGAUCACCACUAAUUAAAUAAUAUUAUCUUAUAUUAAUAUAUUAGAACUUAUAAUAUAUUAAUAAAUCAUAACUUAUACUAUUCUCAAAAGAUUAUCCAUAAAAUGUUCGGGUGAAGUGCAAACCAAAUGGACCAUGCUGGGUUGGGUCAAGUACAUACUAAAUAUAGUUAUGGACUUAGACAUUAUAUCCAACAGUCUCCCACUUGGAUAAGUCUAAUAACUAUAGUUGCAAGUAUGACUUCAGGAACCGAUCAGAAAUCGUAGCUCUUUAAACUCUGUUGAACUAGAACGCGCCAUUUUAGAUAAGUGAUCACAUAAUCCUCUUUUCUAGAUAUCAGCCGGACAAAUACAUGGAACAUGGUCUUACUUAUUGUCCAACAUUUGUUUCCCGAUUUCCGAUUUGUUUGACAUAGAACUUAACGGAACACAUCAAUUUAGUUCUGACCGGGCCCGGUACAUAGGUCAAAACAAAAUCAUCGAGGGGCCCAGAUAUCGCUUCUAAUCCCAUAAGGAACAUAUAAACUUCGACUCAUAUGUUUUCUCUACCACUUGUUAAAUUACACACAAAAGCACGGUUUAUAACAUCGAGUUACCAAUGCGUUUUUGUGCAAUCAAUGCAGAACCAACUCAUAGGCAACAAAUCAUAUCUCUAGGUUUGAAGACUUAUAUGAUAUUACCGUCUCACGAUCACUCGAGAUAAAUUCCAUGAAGUGAUACAAGUGAGCGUGGGUUGAAUCCAAUACUCAGAACUUAUGAGCACUCAUGAGUGUUGUAGCCCCGCUUUGUCUAACAUCUUAGACCUCUACAAGCCAACCCAUGAUAGUCUUGAUUCAUAUCUACUUCCACCAGAAGACCAACUGUGGAGAGUUUGAAUAAUAUGAUAUAAACCAUAACAUAAUUAUUCUGGAAGUCAAAACACGUGAAAAGAAAUAAUAGUAAACGAUUGACAAGUGAUAGCAACACUUUACUCAUAAAUAACAAUGUUUAUUUAUCAUCAAAUGUCAAUUACAUUUUACAAAUUUCAAGAUUAUCUAACUACUAAAACUAAUAUCAUCCUUCAGCCCUAUGCUCCGAGCAUGCUGGAGAUGCUUAGCCCGAGUCAGUCCCUUCGUGAGGGGAUCUGCUGGGUUCUCAUCCAAUGAUACCCUCUUUGCCACGAGGAUUCCUUCUUCUAUUUGAUGUCUGAUGAAGUGAUAUUUUCUGUCAAUGUGUCGGGAUCUGCCAUGAUCUCUUGGUUCCUUGGCUAAGGCAACUGCACUAUUGUUGUCACAUAAAAUCUCCAUUGGCUCCUUUAUAGCUGGUACAGCUCCAAGGUAUCUGAUGAAGUUCUUAAGCCAUAUAGCCUCCUUUACUGCCUCGCUUGCUGCUAUAUACUCUGAUUCACAAGUGGAAUCAGCCACUGUCUCCUGCUUGGAACUUUUCCAAGUAAUUGCCCCUCCGUUUAGGGUAAAGACCCAGCCCGACUGAGAGCGGAAAUUAUCCCCGUCGGUCUGAAAGCUAGCAUCACUAUACCCUACAACUCUCAAGUCAUCACUCCCACCAAAGGUAAGGACCCAGUCCUUAGUCCUUCGUAGGUACUUGAGGAUAUUCUUUACCGCAGUCCAGUGUGCCUUGCCAGGUUUCCCUUGAUACCUGCUAACCAUGCUCAAAGCAAAGGCUAAAUCAAGUCGAGUACACGUCAUAGCAUACAUGAUCGAUCCUAUAGCUGAAGCAUAAGGUAUUCGACUCAUUUUUGCUAUCUCAGACUUUGUACUCGGAAUCUGAGUUUUACUCAGUCUGGCAUUACACUGGAUAUGUAACUCACCUUUCUUGGAGUUAUGCAUGUUGAACCUUUUCAACACUUUGUCCACAUAGGUGCUUUGACUAAGUCCAAUUAGUCUUUUACUCUUGUUUCUCAAAAUCCUUAUCCCUAGGAUAUAGGCAGCUUCACCAAGGUCCUUCAUAGCGAAACACUUCCCAAGCCAGGACUUUACUUCCUGCAGGGUUGGGAUGUCAUUUCCUAUGAGUAGUAUGUCAUCCACAUACAGUACCAAAAAGCUGACUAUGCUCCCACUAGCCUUGAUAUAGACACAAGAUUCAUCUUCACUCCUUGAAAAGCCAAAUUCUUUGACUUUCUCAUCAAAGCAAAGAUUCCAUCUGCGAGGUGCCUGUUUCAAUCCAUAAAUGGAUUUCUCGAGUUUACACACUCUAUUGGGGUACUCUGUACUGACAAAACCCUCUGGCUGAACCAUGUAAACAUCUUCAGCCAACUUUCCAUUAAGGAAAGCGGUUUUGACAUCCAUUUGCCAUAUUUCAUAGUCAUGAAAUGCAACAAUGGCUAACAGAACCCUAAUAGACUUAAUCUUGGCCACUGGUGAAAAGGUCUCAUCAUAAUCAACUCCCGGAGUUUGAGAAUAACCCUUUGCAACCAGUCGUGCCUUAUAAGUGUGUACAUUACCAUCCAUGUCGGUCUUCUUCUUGAAGAUCCAUUUGCACCCAACUAUCUUACGAUCAGGUACAUUGUCAACCAAGUUCCAAACUUGAUUGUCAUACAUGGACUGUAUCUCGCUAUCCAUAGCCUCUUUCCAUUUAGCAGCCUCAGGGCCUGCCAUGGCUUCCGUGUAGCUGUUAGGCUCAUCUAGAUUUACCAGUGUGUUAUCACUGAUAAGUGUCUCACCUUCUGCAGUAAUAUGGAAACCAUAAUAAUGCUCAGGUGCAUUCCUAACUAUUGUGGAACGCCUCAGAGGUAUAGAUUCUUCAAUCUGCUCAAUAGGAGUUUCCUCCUCAUGUUGAGGGUUAGGCUUUGAGGUUCCUUCACCACUUGACUCUUGAAUUUCCUCAAGGUCAAUUUGCCUCUCACUGUCUCCUUGGCUCAUGAAUUCUCUCUCUCGAAAGAAUCCUCUUCUUGCUACAAAGACCACAUUAUCACUGGGUCUGUAGAAGAUGUAGCCAAAGGAUUUCUGUGGAUAGCCGAUGAAAAUACACCUUUCGCUUCGGGGUUCGAGCUUAUCGUGAGUCUCGCGUCUCACGAAAGCCUCACAACCCCAAAUCUUGAUGUGGUCUAGAUUGGGAACUUUUCCAGUCCACAUCUCGUGAGGUGUUUUGGCAACCUUCUUUGUAGGGACUAGAUUAAGGAUAUGGGCGACAGUCUCUAAGGCAUACCCCCAAAAUGAGAUUGGUAGCGAAGCUCGACUCAUCAUGGAACGAACCAUGUCCAACAAGGUCCGAUUGCGCCUCUCAGCUACACCAUUCAACUGUGGUGUCCUAGGAGGUGUCAAUUGUGAGAUAAUCCCACAUUCCUUAAGAUAGUCAAGGAACUCAGUACUAAGAUACUCACCACCACGAUCGGAUCGAAGCAUCUUAAUGUUCUUGCCCAACUGAUUCUCCACUUCUUGCUUAAACUCUUUGAAUUUCUCAAAGGUUUCUGACUAUGCUUGAUUAAGUAAACAUAUCCAUAUCUACUAAAAUCAUCAGUGAAAGUCACAUUGAACCGAUUAGCAUCUCUUGUGGCGAUUCUAAAGGGUCCACACACAUCUGUGUGUAUGAGGUCCAUCAAACCUUCACCCCUAGCACAAGUGCCAGUAAAAGGUGACUUUGUCAUUUUACCAAGCAAACAAGAUUCACAACUAUCAUCUGACUUUAGGUCAAAUGACUCCAAGACUCCAUCCUUUUGGAGUUGGCCUAUGCGUUUCUUGCUUACAUGUCCAAGAUGACAAUGCCAUAAAGAUGCUUUAUCUAAGCAAGUGGAAGAGUCAAUACACAAUACAUUAUUUCCUAGAUUAUCUACAACAGAUACGGUUUCAUACACUCUAUCACAAGGUAAUGCUUUAAAAUAAAUAACAUUAUUAAAGAAAGCAUCAAUACUACCAUUAUUAUUAUCAAAAUAAAAGGUAAAACCUUGUUUAUACAAUGCAUGAAAUGAAAUAACAUUUCUUGCCAUUUCUGGCGAAUAAUAACACUUAUUCAAAUCUAAUGUAAACCCACUAUUUAGCACUAAGGAAUAAACUCCUAUCUUGGUGACAGGUGAAGCUUUCCUGUUUCCCAUGAUCAAGUUUAUCUUUCCCUGCUCCACAUUCUCACUUCUUCUUAGUCCCUGCAAAUCACAACAUAUGUGAAUACCACAACCUGUAUCAAGGACCCAAGACUUAGAAUGAGGUGAGUUAUUAGACAAUAUAGUGUAUAUACCUGCAUGGUUGGGUUUUACUUUCCCAUCCUUCAAAUCUUGCUGGUACUUUGGGCAGUUUCGCUUCUAGUGCGACUUUUCAUGGCAAUAGAAGCAUUCAGCCUCAUUAGGGUUAGCAGAAGGAGUGACAAAACCUUUCUUGGUUUUGCUUGAAGAGGAGCCUUCAAGGGUCUUACCCUUGGUACCCUUAGAAGGGUUCUUUCUCUUCUUCCCUUUGCCAUGCCCGAUUGCCAAGACAUUGGCCGCAGUUGGAGUAGGAGUAGGAGUAGUAACAACCGACUUACCCUUUAGACCACUUUCGGCGGUCUUCAAGAGUCCUUGAAGUUUGCUGAGGGUGACUUCUUCCUUGUUCAUGUGAUAUGUCAUGCGGAAUUGAUCAUAACACGAUGGUAAGGAGUGCAAAAUGAUGUCUAUUGCUAACUCCUCGGGGAAGUUCACAUUCAGCUUCAGUAAACGGUCCACAUACCUUUGCAUUUUCUGCAUGUGGCCCGUGAUGGGUUCACCAUCCUUCAUUCGGGUUGUUAUCAUGGAGGAGAUUAUUUCAUAUCGCUCUUGACGAGCACUUUGAUGGUAGCGGUCCAUCAAGUCCUGGUGCAUCUCAAAAGGAUAAUAGUCCUCAUAGGACUUUUGGAGCUCGGCUGUCAUGGUGGCCAUCAUGAUGCAUGCCACUUUUGUAGCAUCUCUUUCAUGUACCUCAUAUUCAGCAAGCUCUUCAGGAGUAGCAGUUGGCUCGGGUACCUUCAGCUCCUUGUCGAGAACAUAUUCUUUGUUCUCAUACCGAGUGACCAUCCUGAUGUUUCUGAUCCAAUCUGUAAAGUUGGAUCCAUCAAAGAUGACUCUCCCACAAAGAUUCAUGAGAGAGAAGGAGCUAGUAGGGUUUGAGCCAGAAGCAUUGUUAUUGGAAGACAUCUGAAAAGAAGAGGGAAUAGAUUAGAUUAGAUUUAGAGAUAGUCCUUAAUAAAACACCCAAAUGUAGUAUUAAGGCUAGGACCCAACACAAUAUUUUAUAACUUAGAAGAGGGAUGCCGUAAUCUAAGCUAUAAGAUAUUUGAAGGUAGGUGAAUGACGAUUCACCAAUUUCCACCAUGAAAAACGAAAUAUUUAAUUAGGUUUUAAUUGGUUUAGAAACUCCUAGAUUCUUUGAGAUUCAUUGAACUUUCUUCAAUGGCAUGUUUCAAUCUCGAGUGUGCCCUUCAAGUUUUGUGACUGGGAUGCCGAGGAUCACAAAACAAGGUGUGAAGUAACCAUGCAAAUUACUUGGUACCCUUAAUGUAUUACCCCUCAAUCGAUGUGCCGGUUAACCACACACGCUCCAUCGAUACUAUGAUAAAUAUUAAGUCACCCUUUACCUACCUUGUUAAGUUUCAGUUAGUGUGUCGGUUAACCACACACGCUCCACUAACGACUUAAACAAAGUGUAAAAUGUAAUUUCAUGGAUUAGCACCUUAUUCACAUUUUCCUAAAAUAACUAAUAUUGUGAAUUCAGUAAAGUUUAGUUACUUUAGUAUUAUCGUUAUACUUUUAAUGAGAAUUUAUAAGUCCUUGUCCUACCCGUUCGGCUAACGACCCUCCACCGAUCAAGGAAGCGGUGGGUGAGAGUGGACACCCAUUAAGUUGCCAUUUUAUAGGCAACAACCUUAUACCCCCCUUAUAGACCGGCUUCGUGAAUGAGGCGUACUAGCGGUAAGACGACUUUAUCUUAUACAUAUAUAUAUUAUUAACUUAUAAUAUUAUAAAGUAUAAGGGUUGAAUUUUAACUUUUAAAAUUCUAAGGGUUGGAACUAAAGUUUUAAUCAUGACUUUACUUGUUCCAAAACUUGAGGGCAAGUUUUGUAAACUUUCAAAACUUUUCAUUUCUUAUAACUUAUGAAUUUAAUUGAGUAUUAAAAUGAAGACUUUUCAUUUUUCUAACUCUUGUGUUCUUUUAAUGGNNNNNNNNNNNNNNNNNNNNNNNNNNNNNNNNNNNNNNNNNNNNNNNNNNNNNNNNNNNNNNNNNNNNNNNNNNNNNNNNNNNNNNNNNNNNNNNNNNNNNNNNNNNNNNNNNNNNNNNNNNNNNNNNNNNNNNNNNNNNNNNNNNNNNNNNNNNNNNNNNNNNNNNNNNNNNNNNNNNNNNNNNNNNNNNNNNUGGAUUAGCAUAAACAUUACACCAUCUAAAACAAGUUUUAUAACACCAAAACAGUUUAGGGUAAUGUUUCUACUCCAUUUCCAGCAGCAAAACUCAAAAAUCUGGACGCUCCAGCCUCUACUCGUCGAGUGCAUGAACAGACUCUACGGGUAGCAUGCAUUUCUUCAUGGACUCGGCGAGUUCAUACGGCAGUGAACAAAAAAUUUCGAUUUUCAAGCUAUUUGCAUCAAGUAUCAAGUAAACAAGCCUAGGCUCUGAUACCACUGAUGGUUUUGAGCAUUCUAACACUCCUAUGGUGUACAUGCAACCCUACAAACCUUGGAUCUAUGUUUGACUAAGAUACAUGCAAAUAAUUAUUUUUCCAAGGUUCUUAUCCUAUCUAGCAUGGCAUGGGGAACUUGAAUCAAAUAAAGCUAGUAGAAUUACUUACCUUGUAGUUGUAGUUGAUUGCUUGGAGUUUUAGAGCCUAGCACCAAUAGUGUGGAUGCCUCAAAUGGAAAUCACAAAUCACCACAAACUUUGGAACUUUGGGAGAAUAGUAAUCACCUUCUUAAAAUCGGCCCUCUUAGUAUCCUAAUACAACUACUGUGAUUUCAAGAACCAAAGCCUUCUUUAUAUAGUGUGGUGGAUUAGGGUUACAUCCAUGUAAACCCUAAUACCCAUGUCUCUUCAUUUCCAUGAGAUCCAUGGGUUAAACCUCCAUGGAGUAUCCAUGGACUUUCCAUGCAAUCCUAGCCCAUUCCAAAUAAGCAUUAGCCCACACUAUAUAAAUACAAGAGCCCAUAUUUAAUUAGUAAUACUUUUGAUCUCUAAAUUAAUUCUAGAUUAAUUAUAGAUCAAUACUAAUUAAAUAAUAUGAUUUUAUAUUAAUAUAUUAGAACUUAUAAUAUAUUAAUAAAUCAUAACUUAUACUAUUCUCAAAAGAUUAUUCAUAAAUUGUUCGGGUGAAGUGAAACCCAAAUGGACCAUGCCGGGUCGGGUCAAGUACAUACCAAAUAUAGUUAUGGACUUAGACAUUAUAUCCAACAAUAUGUGGUGAUGAUAGUUUUUGUUGAUGAUAGUGGGGUAUCCAAAUAAAGGGAGGGGGUUGUGACUCAUAUUGGUUCUUUUCCUUGCACAACAAGUGCUCGACAAAAUGUAUAAUCAAGAAAUAUUGUUUUUUUCAUAAGUGUUGUUGUGUUUGGAUGAUUUAACCAUAUUUUGGAAAUCAAGAAAUCUCUUUAAGUGUAUUUAAAUAUGUGUAGAAAUGCAUGUAAAGUUUGUGGGGUUAAUCAAUAAAAAAGGUUGGUUGUGUUAUAUAAUAUGUAUCUUAAAUUUUCAAUAAUUAUUCACGAAGUGAGACUAUUGUGUGUAUUUAACUUUUUGUAUAUUCACAGGUACCUAAUUUUGUUAUAUAUUUCAAUCAACUUAUGAUUUUGACAUAUAUAAUUUCCUUAAAAAUAUUCCUACACAAAUUACCGAAUCUGAGUACUCCCCGAGUACUCACUACUCGGUAGUCGGUCGAACAAGUACCGAGCAACGAGUUAUACAACCUUGCCAACAAGUCAGUUCCAACCCAACGACUUCUUUCGCCCAAUGGGUCUGUUUCAACUCAACAUGUCUAUUUCAACCUAACAUAUGUUUAUAUCAUACAUGUAUACCAGCAAGAGUCACAAAGACGACAAGCACAUAACGAUAUAUAGUAUAGUAAGAAGACUCACCUCACAGCCAGUCAGAUAAUCACCAUGGCUAGCAUAAAUGAGAAGGUUUGUACAACAACCACCUAACAUGUAAUCAAAGGUCAAACUCUAUACCUUGACCCAAAAUCCUAAAGGUUGACCUAAAUUCAAACAUAGUCAAAGUCAACAAGUUAACAUUUUGAUCAAAAGGUUAAAAUGUCCACAAGAUGCCAGAAAGCACGACAUGCUCUCAAUAAGCGCACCGCGCUUCACUAAAAGACAAAUGCUCGGGGUCUUAGGUUUAAAACAGGUGUGUUGAGAAAACCCUAAAAGCGUGUUGUGACCAAGAAAAGUGUGUCGCACUUUGGCCAUUUCCAUAAGGGUUUUUUUUACUUAAUCUAUUGAGUCAUAACCCCAUCUUCUAGAUCUAAACUCUCAUAAGGUCUAAAUGGACAAAAUUUCCAACUUUAUCCAUUAAGACAUACCACAUCAACCAAGAUCUAAACUUUACCUCCAAUACUUCCAUGGCUUGAAGGAAAGGCUAAAGGUUCUAACUUUAUGAAUCUAAAUGGUUCUAACAACAAUCCUAAGUGACCAAAAGGUGUAACAACCCAUAAACUUAGGUAAAUAAUUUCAUUUAUUAACUAGAAAUAAUAUCCAUAUUUGUUUCCCACAAAUUCCAUUACAUAAUACAUUGUUCAAAAGAUCAGAGUAUCCAAAACAAUUAGUGCGGAAUACUGGAGAGUUUACAUUGCGCCAUCAAGUCGGGCCCUUACCCUUAGUGAGCAAAUGCCUAGUGGGUUUCCCAACAAUCUGUAAGCAAACGCCUAGUGAGUUUCCCAAAAUGCACAACACAUACAAUCACAUAAAAACCAUGCAAUAGAAAGGCAUACAUGACUUUACAUGGUCUUUACUUGGAAUGUCAUGGGCUCCCCCAUGGUUUGAUAACCAAGUGUCAUGGGCUCCGCCAUGGUCUUUACCUGGAAUGCCAUGGGCUCUCCUCAUGGUCUUCACAUAAAACAAUCCAUACCACAAAGCAUACAAUUGCAUAUCAACUAAUUACUACAUAUCAGAUAAUGGGCCGACAUUAGUGCCUUCGACCCAUGGGUAUGAUGAGAAGACUCACCUCAGUCUGCUGAACAUAAUAGUUGCUCGCCUAUCAGCCCGAAACCUCACACUAAACAAUGGUACAAAUAACCCUAAAUUAGGAUUAUAACUCAACCUAGUCAAAGAGUCCAAAAACCUAAACCUAGUCCUUAGAUGGUGGCUCAAAAUUCCUUUCAUUACUAAUGGGCCUGGGAUCCAAGAAAAAAGCUAUUAAUAGGCCAUAUGGCCUAAUAAGGCCCAACCAAAACAACUAUGGCCCAAAACAGAAUAAUCAGACCACUAACUUAAAAUGGGACCAGGCCCAAAACUAAACAAGGCCCAAAAAGAUUACAAGCACACACGAAGCCCAAACCCAUCUGGGGUGUGUAUGCCCAGCAUACCAAUCUAAUACACUUAGCGUACUGAGUCCCUUGGUUAUACGUGCAACAUACACAAUAUUACGCCCAGCAUACAAGCAGAAUAUGCACCAACGACCAUUAAGUGCUUAGUACUUGGGAUUUCAACGUUAAACUUCAUAUCUGAGUCCAUUAAGAUGUCCUAGGGCAUAAAGUGUUGGAUUAGUGUCUAAUUCCAUAACUAUUUUGGUAUGUACUUGACCCGAUGGUGCAUGGUCCUGUUGGGUUGCCUUCACCAAAGCAACUUGAUAGGAUGAAUUAUGGAGAGAAAGGAUUAAAUAUGAUUUAUUAAUAUAUUAUGAGAAUAAUAUAUUAAAGGAGAAAUCAUAUUGUUUAAUUAAUAUUAGUCAAUAAUUAAUUGGUAAUUAGUUUUGUGACUAAAAGAGAUUAAUUAAACUUAAGGGACUGGAAUUGUAAUUAUAAGAUAAUUACAAUUUGGGCCAUGGAUUGCCUUAUAUUAAGGAUUGGACGAAUUCUAUGGGGAAACCCAUGAGGAAAUCGUCCAAGGCCUUAAGGAAAGGGAUCCAUGGGUUGCUUAGGGCUUAAGCAUCCAAAUUAGGGUUUCCUUGUUAGAUAACCCUAAUAGCCUCCUAUAUAUAUACAUCCCUUAUGACCCAAAAAAAUGGCUAAGACUUCUUCUAGGGUUUCACACAUUUUAGGGCAGCCUCCUUCCUCUCUCCUCUUCAUCCUCUUGCUCUUGGUGUUUGUGAACCAUUAGAGGAGUGACAUUUGUGACUCUAAGCUUUCUAAAGUCAAUAGAAGAAGGAUUUGGGAUUGUUAUUGCUACAUAACAAUCAAGGUAAUAUCUUAAACCAAUUCUUAUGUUAAUAUGAUUACUUGUAUGCUAGAAUUAGGGUUUAUAGUCUUGGAUAACUUGCAUGUACAAUAGAGAAACCUAGAUCCAAACAUUAGGGUUUGUAUGAGCACAUAGGAUGUUCUUAGGACCAAAACCCAUCAUAAAUUUGGCAACUUUAUGCCCUUGCAAGCCAUAAGGGUCCCCAAUACUUCAUUCUUCCCAUUAAGACCUCAUUUAAGACCUCAAACUCAUGCACAAUAUCAAAACAACCUUCAAGAUGGCACCUUUAUGCAACAAGCAUGCUCAAAGAGCUUAGAUCUAACUAUCCUAGUCUCUGGAGUUGCUCAACUCACAAGACAGGGUUCAAGAACCAAAAAGGGACUUCAUAACAAAACCCUAGCUCAAACUAACAAAAAACAUGACAAGGUUAUGACUUUACACUUCCAAAAGUUCCUACAGAUGAACUAGAUGUAGGAUCCAGAAGCUCAAUGACACCCAAGACUUGAUCACCAACUUCUCCUUCUUGAAUGCUCUCUAAAAUGGCCACCAAAACACUCUUUAAGCUCAAGGAUCACACUCUCAAGAAAAUUUGGGGUUAAGGGACGAAAUAAGGCUAUGGAGGCUGAUUAGGGUUAGUCCAAAUGAUAUAAGAUUGCUUAAAUAGGGUGCAAGGCAAAGAUUUACGGUUUUAGACAUCCGCCACGUAUGCCCGCAUACAUGCUCGUACGUCCAGCGUACGAGCCCCAACCAUCCAAUGCCCUCACACACGUACGAUAAGCGUACACAGAUGUACACCCAGCGUAUGGAAAAGACCAUUUUUGACAAAAUUGAAAUACUUGAGGGUGAACAAUGGAAUAAUUGGAUUGGAGUGUUACAAAAGGAGUUUGAGUCAAGAAAACUCCAAGCUCGCCUUCUAAAUGUGAUGAAAAGUGCAUAAAAUGAACAUUAAGCAAUAUAUAACAAAUGAAAAGGAAAGCUUGAAGCUUUAUACUCACAAAAAUCCAGGAGAUGCACAAACUUUUUGGAUCUACACUUGCUCCUCGCUUCUAAGCACCAAAAAGGAGCCUUGAUCUUCAUGUUUUAAGCAUAAAACAUGGAAAAGUAAGCUUCAAAGGUGAAAGGAGGCUCAAAUCAAGCUAGAGGAGGCUAAGGUUUCGUGUGAUCUCUUUAGGGAGUGAUGGAGGCAAAGAUUAACCUAACCCUAGGGGCUAAUGGAGCUUAAAUAGCCUUCAAAACCCUAAAAUGUAACGCUUGGUUCCCAGGUAAAUUCCUUUAAAUUCUAAGUGCUUAAUUAUUUCGCAUUUGUGUUAAUUAUGUUAGGCGUAAUUAAGGUAUGCAAGGCAUACCUUUUCGAGUCUUGGACAUGGGGUUUACUCCCUGGUAUGUUGGGCGUACCUAGAGGAUGCAUGAUAUACUUAAGUUAGGGGUAAACCAUAAAAUUUAAGGUUUGGACCCUAUUUAAGCACUUCAUAACCUCAAGGCCUCUUCUAUCAUCAACCUCCUUCACCCCAAAGAAGUUCCCACGAAACCCUAGCCUAUUUUUAGAGAGUAUUGAGCCUCUUGUGUGUUUUGUUGUGUUUUUGGUGCAUCUUGAAGAAAGAAGAACCCUUUGGAGAAGCACUUGUUGACUUGAAGCUUGUAGAUCCAGACCUUGGGUCUAUGGGUUUGUGCUAUUGUUAGGCCUUAGGUUUUUAGGGACUCGGGCCAUAGUUAAAUGGGUAAAUUAAGAGAAGGGUAAAAUUUUCUUUUACCGUUAGCUUGAAGAAUAUGGGCCAUUUAUUAUAGGUUACGAUUCUGAUUAAUUAUUAGGGUGAAUUUGGAUAUGUUAAGUGUGAGGAGUCAUGGUAACAGCAGUCCGAGAGUGUGAUUUGUCUAUCUUCAGACCGAGGUAAGUUUCCUUAUUGUACUUAUGGGUCGAAGGCACCAAUGUCGGCCCACUGGAUUAUGAUGUAGGAUGAUUUUUGUGACACUUACUAAUAUGUAUGUAUGUGCUUGUUGUCUUUGUGAUUCUUUCUAGUAUGAUUGUAUGCUUAGUUAUAGGGGUAAAACAGGCAUGUACUGGUUGAAAGAUACCGAAAGAGUCGGAAGGGACUCAACGAGUUGGAAGGGACUCAAGGGUGAAAUAAUCUCAUUACAUGUUUCAGUAUGAUAUGUAUGAUUAAUGUAUGGUAUAUGGUAUUUGGGGAACUCACUAAGCUUUGUGCUUACAGUUUAAGUUUAUGUUUCAGAUACUUCAAGUUCGAAGGGGAAAGGCCUAACCUGAUCACAACGCAUCCACAUGUGUUUCUGUAAUCUUUAUGAUUUUAGGAUUUUUACCGUGAUAAUUAUUUUCACAUUGGCAUACAUUGAUGGUUUGAUUUGAUGGAUCUUGGUUGAUUUAAAAAUGAAAUUUUACUUAUGAUUUUUGGGACGACAAGUUGGUAUCAGAGCCUUGG
This 69101-nucleotide long non-coding RNA is filed under the name Lactuca sativa (garden lettuce). RNAcentral's name for it is "long non-coding RNA (LSAT_LNC006752)". The record is from RNAcentral. Lineage: Eukaryota; Viridiplantae; Streptophyta; Magnoliopsida; Asterales; Asteraceae.